GGCGAGCCACUCGACGCCGUCGUCGCCAUGGACGGGCUGUGGUGAGCUCGACGCUGACAGCUGUUCAUCGCCCUUCGUCUUCUUCGUCAGCGCCAUAAGCACGCGGAGGCCAUGGGAGAUCCAUUCCCGCAGCAACCGGACACCGAGGCCGGUGCACGACGCCCCGACGACGAGCAUCUUCUUCACCUCCGGCGAUCUCUUCUGCGGAGUACCUCGACGUCGCGCAUUCCUUUCCUGCGCCGACUCUCCUCUCCGCCCCGUGGUGAGCAGUCGAAGCCUCGUCCCCUCUCCUCUGUCCGAAGUAUCGCGUAGCUGCGUCGCCAGCGUGUCGCCUUGCCGCGCGGCUCUGUAGAGCAGGGCAGCGGAGGUAGCUAGUAGCGGCAAGUAGCAGUAGAAGCCGCAUCAUGCACCCAGCAGUAGCAGCACCACAGCAUCCACAACAUGCAGUUGCAGUAGCACCGAGCGAGCAGUGCAUUCGCGCGCGUAUAGAGCAGCUCGUACGUCGCGUGCGUCGCCGGAGUCGCUCAUCCGUGCGUGUCUCUGUUGCCAUGGAGCUAGCCCCCUGUCUUGCGUUCAACUAGCGUAGAUCCCCCAGUUCGAGCAAACGCCCCACGGUAGCCCAGUGGCAAUAGAGCGUGCGUUGCACCGCAGCGUCCUGAGUUCGAUCCCCAGCGUGCCCCUUUUUCUUUUCAGGGGUUUUUUCCAUCGGCGCUCUUCGAGUAAUUAACUUAGGGAAGUUUCCUCCCGUAGUAGAGCAGUGUUACGAUCCCUAGCAAGCUGGUUCGACCGAGCCAUGGCGACCGUGAGGUCCUGGGUUCGAGUCCCCAUGUCGCCUUUUUUUACUGUUUUAUAUUUCCUGUUGUGAUUAGGGAGUUAGUCAUUGUAUGUCUGCAUACCUUCCCAUACUAGUUCAGCUGCAUGUGGCUAGCCCACUGGUGAUGGUCGUGCACUCCACCAGGGAGAUGGUGGGUUCGACUCCCACCUCUCUCAUAUUUUCCUUUUAUGUGUUGUGACUUGUGUGUGCCACUGACAGGUGGUCCCGGGGCCCUGGUGACUAUGACCAGUAGGCCCCCUGUCAGUUUACAUUUUAGUGGUGAUAUAUUUGUGACUUGUGUGAAAUAUCCUUGUUUGGAGUAAUUCCAGAAAUGGAAUGGCCUGAUCUGGUAUAUCCCAAAUUGGGCAGGCUCAGGAACGGUUCAUGUUCUUGACUAUGCUGUAGUUUGAUCCUGUGUUAUUUUUCUUUUGUUGUUUGUGGUGUUUUUCUGCAUGUAACAUGGGCAGUAUGACAUAUGGAUUUGGGGUAGCAGAACCCAAUGAAUCCAAAGGUGACACUGGAUUCCAGUCGUGAGCAGUUAUGCAGAAGUGUCACUUUGUGUUGAGGUGGCACUUGUUGACCUCGUAGGUUGGUGUAAGUGCAUAGUUAGGGAUUGAGCAUACAUGCAUCAUUUUAGUUAGUGCUUCCUGUUGUGCAUGUCUCUUGAAUGUAGCUCCGUUCUUUGUUCCACAUGUUAACCGACUAGGAUGACAUGUAGAAUCACCGCUUCACCUCUUGCCAUGUUUAACCACAUUUAAUACUGCCGUGUAUCUAAUCGGGAUAGAACUAAAUAACUCAUAUGUGGAGUUUCGUCAAUAUGCAACUCGUUGCAUAUUGAACUUCACUUAAUGUGUAGUGUUUGUUUGUGUGAUUUGUCAUGUCGUGACUUGCAUGUAUUCAGCUGCUCAUGCAUCAUAUGUGUUGUGCAUCGUGUGGUGAAUUCCGUGUGUUGAUUUGUGUUUCCGGUUUGCUUCGUUCCGAUAGAGUUCCGCAAGCGUGUCGGAAUGUGAGGACCCGUUCGACUACGUCAGUUCGUCUGCUUCACGGAGGCAUUCUUCUUCCAAGCGGGAUCUCAGGCAAGAUGAUCAUUUCCUCAGAUACCAUUACUAUCAUUGCCAUGCUAGUUAUUUCGAUGCUAUCGUUUAUGUCUUGUUGCCUACCACAUGUUAAAUCUCAGCCUCUCAACAAUGCCAUGAAACCUUCAACCUGUUCAACCUAGCAAACCACUUAUUGGCUAUGUUAGUGCUUGCUUAACCCUGUUGAUAGCGUUGCUAGUUGCAGGUGCAGUUGCUUCCAUGUGAAACAUGGGUUCCUUGUCAUAUCACCAUAUUAAAUGCUAUUUAAUUUAAUGCACCUAUAUACUUGGUAAAAGGUGGAAGGCUCGGCCUUUCUAGCCUGGUGUUUUGUUCCACCUUUGCCCCCUUUAGUUAUCGGCUGCCGGUGUUAUGUUCCAUAAAUGAGCGCUCCUAACACGAUCGGGGUUGUUAUGGGGACCCCCUUGAUAAUUCGUUUUAGAUUAAAGCUGGUCUGGCAAGGCCCAACAUUGGUACUACAUUUUCCUAAUAACCUAAUAAUAAUGCAUAGGGACCUGCCGGCACCCGCGGACUAUUUUAAUCAACCCCCGGGCCAGUGCUCCUCAUGAGUGUUGGUCCCACCUGAGCGAUGUCCGGCGCCCCUCUGGUCACCCGGAGGUUUAGCGAUCCCAACGUCUAGCUCAUCCGCCGUGUCCUGAGAAUGAGGUACGCGACUCCUAUCGGGAUCGUCGACACGUCGGGCGGCCUUGCUGGAUUAGUUUUACCUUUGACGAGAUAUCUUGUGCAUCGGGAUUCCGGUGAUGCUUUGGGUAAUCUCAGAGUUGAGGUUUUCCAUUAGGGAAUCCGACGAGAUCGCGAGCUUCAUGAUUGAGGAUUUCUAUGCGGCUUGUGGUAAUUUGUGAUGGACUAGUUGGAGCACCCCCGCAGGGUUAAAUCUUUCAGAAAGCCGUGCCCGCGGUUAUGUGGCAACGUGGAAGCUUUGUUUAACACUGGUUCUAGAUAACUUGAAGUUAACUUAAUUAAAACAUGCCAACUGUGUGCGUAACCGUGACUGUCUCUUUCGUGAGUUCCUUCUCCGAUCGAGGACACGGUGGGGUUAUGUCUGACGUAGGUAGGUGUUCAGGAUCAUUCUUUUGAUCAUCUGUAGUGACGUCCGUUAUGCGUAGAUCUCCCCCCUCUUAUUUCUUGUACUCGUAAGUUAGCCACCAAAUAUAUGCUUUGUCGCUGCUGCAACCUCACCAUUUAACCAUGCCUCACCCAUUAAGCUUUGCUAGUCUUGAUACCUUUGGAAAUGAGAUUGCUGAGUCCCCUGUGGCUCACAGUUUACUACAACACCAGUUGCAGGUACAGAUACAGGUUACUCGACGUGAGCGCGUUGAUUGUUCAUUUGGAGUUGCUUCUUCUUCUUCUUCUUCCUCGAUCUAGGAUGGGUUCCAGGCCGGUAGCCUGGGAUAGCAAGGAUGGACGUCGUUCUUCUUUUGUCGUUUGUUUUCGUCCGUAGUCGGACCCUGCUCUUACUCUUGAUGAUUAUGUAAUGUACUGAUGUGACUCUGAUGUAGCUUGUGGCGAGUGUAAGCCAACUCUUUAUAUGUCUCUCCUGUUCAGUACAUGUACUUGUAACAAUAUCCAUUCUUGCAACACGACGAGAUGCGCUUCUAUCCCUGACGAGGCCCCCGUGCCAAAUUGAGGAUAGGGUCGCAUCUUGGGCGUGACAAGUUGGUAUCAGAGCAAGGACCGACCUAGGAGCCCCCUUGAUUGAUCGAACUUGGCCUAGUCGAGUCUAGUGAAAAACUAUUUGAGUCUAGUUAUAUAUCGGAGAGUUGGAUUCUUUUUUCUCCUCUUCUAUGCUCUGGUGAGGAAUCUUGACGUAAUAAUUUAUUCUACUCCUCUUCUCACUCAAAUUUUUUUAGGAUCACGCGGAUAUUCUUGGGGUCUAUAUGAUGCCGAUGUGACGGAGUUCUGUCUUGGUGCCUCCUGUCUGACUUGAUUUUCUUCCGGGGAGUUGAGCUCCAGGGGAUUCUUGAGCACAUCGUUAUCAUUUAGAUUUCUUAGUAUCUCAGGACGAAGGAUGUUCGUAAUUGCUUCAAUACUAGUAGUGGCGAGAUAACCCCGAUGUCUCCAGUACUGGUGCAGAUUGUUCGGGAGUACUGCCAUACUUUGUAUCAUUGUGAUCACGAGGGUCUGUUGUAGAUGAAGGUCCGAGAUUCUGGUCGUGUGUUGACGGAUGUGAUACAAGUGACGGGUUAGUAUAGGAGUUGUGUGAUAUUACUCCUUGUAUCCAUGUACCAGAUUGCAUGACCAGAUAUUUCGGAAAUUCAUAGGUGGGAAUUCAAGUAGUUUCUUAUAGGACAAUCUUCCAACAAAUGCAUGAUGUUAGGUUGGGGUUCGACAUCUAGUGGAUUCGUUUGUUCACGGUCGACUUACAGCAGUACACGUUGUGUCUUACAGAGUCCUUGUAGCUUGCUACGACUCGGGGACGCUUCGUAUGUCGGGUGCACUGACUUGCACUUGAUGACUACUGUAAAUCGUGCCCGUGCGAUCCUGUCCACGAAAAUAUCGAACGGAAAACUUUCUCAUGAGUUUGUUCUGGCUAAUUGCAAGUCGCACCCUUGUUUUGUUGAAUAUGGUAAUUCGAGUUGCUUCGAUGUCAAGUGGUGAUUUCAGAUCUUUCCUAAGAGAUGUUCUCAUAUUUUUAUGUGAGAAUGCAAAUUCUUUUGUUCGUUCAAUUGUCAUGUCAAUUCUUGUCAACCGGAGUCGUCAUGUCAAUUCUUUUCAACUGGUGUGUUUCUCUCCAAGUGGAUUCAAUCCUCUCCAAUUUGUCAAGAGAAUUCUCUUAGUCCAUCCGGAGUUCAUCUCAUCUGUCCCAAGUUGUCUGUGUUUUUCCCCGCCCUCCCGCCCUUUUUCUUCAGUGAUUCAAUUUUUUAUCCUGGAGUUUUCUUUUCAUUGUGAUUUCAAUGUCUGUUCUUUUCUAUCUUAUCCGGUGAUUCAUUAUGAAGAUUCUCAGGAGCUUCGUGUUCAUCUUUAUUCAUUAUUGUCAUCUUUUCCGGUGAAUUUAAUUCAGUAUCCGUGUCAUCAUGUCCUUUUCAUCCUUGUAAUUCUUUCCGAUGUUGGAAAUUUUUAUCAGUCUAUCUUCUUGUGGUCGUUUCUCUCUAUUCUAUCCGGAGUGUUGAAGCUAUCUCAGAAUUCUUGUUCUCAGUUCUUUUAAGUAUUUCGGGGUGCUAACUUCAUCUAGUCCUCUUCAUACCGGUGCAAUAUCAAUCUUUCUAGCAAUCUUUUCUAACAGACGUUUCUUUGAGUGGGCCCAUAACCCACAGGUUCUUUCCCAGGAUCUUUCCUGGCGUUUUUAAUCUUUUCCCGGAGAUCAUUAAAUCUGUCAACUAUGACGUAAGUAUGAUUCCAUCAGUCAUAUUACUUCUUCAAGUUCUAUUUGAAUUAAUUCAUUCUUUGGCUCAACCUUUCAUUCUUCUUUAUUCCGGAGUGUCUUAGUAAUUCUUGGCGUUGUUAUCGUCAUCAUUCUCAGCUUGCAUUUGAAGGAGUGUUUUUCUUAAUCUUGGUUCAUUCUCUUAAAUAUUCAUCACUCCAGCCUUCUGGCAUCAUCUUGAAUUGUUCCAAUCAUGAGCAAUCAUUUCUUGCUAUCCGGUACAUUUCUGAGUUGUUUUUAUUCUCGAUCCUCCGAAGGCCAUCAUUUUAGAAGAUUCUUCGUUCUCAGCUUUCAGCUUUCAUCCUCAAAUCUUCCUAAUUGUUGCCUCUUCGUUCGUCUCUCGAUUAUCCGGUGCCUUGUUCAAGUUUUCUCUCAGGUGGCUCGUCAUCUCUUCAUUCUCAUGUAUCUCCAUUCAUUCAUGGUUGCCUCAUUCAUUUCAAUUCUCACCGGUGCCUCUUUCAAGAUUUCUUCUAGUUUGUGCUCAUAUCUCUCCUUAAUCAUUUCUAGAAGAAUAAGUUGUAUGCUAGAUCUGUUGCUUGUCAUCAAUUUAACUUGAUGAAGGAUAAGCAUAACAUAAUUCUUAUUCUUGUCCUUCCUUCUUCCAAGAGAUCUCAAUUCUUCUUCCGGAGGGGCUCGUGAUAUCAAUUCUUUUCUCGUGUGCUUAUCUUUUUCCGAAGUUCCAAGUUAUUUUAAGUUUCUCUUUGUGAAGCUUCAUCUAAAUCUUGGCAAGGUCAUAACCUUAUUCUUUUCUACCUUCAUAUCGUUGCAUCUUUCAUUUGUAUACGGAGGUCCUUCUUGGUGGUUCAUCAAGGAUGUGAUUCAUUCUCAUGUGUUCUUCAAGAUUCCUGUUGGAAUACCUCAAGUAUCCUUUCUCUUGCAUUUUCAAGUGCAAUUGUUCUUCCUUUAUCCUUUGAGGUGGUAUUAUAGCCUUCUUGUUAGUGUAGGAGCCUCGAAGAGUUUUCCUUUCAAGGAUGAGAUAAAUAAAUCCACCAAUUCUAUGAUCAUGAGAUAUUUCAACCCAUGAUUUCUUCAUUGAGCUAUCUUGGUUUGAAUUUCACCUAAAGCUUUUCCUAUGGAUUGUUGCUAUCAUGGUGCUUGUCUUUAAUCCAAGUUUUCAAUGUACCCUCUUGGUGUAAGUAAGUGUUCAUAUCUUGUUGCUCCCAAUCUAUCCCUGGUUCUUGUAGUGGUUGGUUGUCACCUCAUAUUUGUUGAGAUGAUUUUCAUAAGCCCACUACUAUCUUGUUCUUUUGUUGUUGUUUUUCCAACAGAUCCGUCCAAUUCUUCUUGCAAGGAUGCUUGUCAAGUUCAUUGGAGUUAGUAGUUGUCAUUCUCUCUUCAUUCUCUUCUUCCGUAUGAGCUAGUUCAUAUUCUAUUGUUCUGGAGGCUUUGUGAUAUUGCUCUUUUGGGUCAAUCUUGUUGUUCUAUCAAGUUCAUGGUGUUCCCUUGUUCUAAUUAGUUGUUUGUUAUGUAUAUUGGCUAAUUCUCCUACCUUUUCGAAUUUUUUGUCCCAUUUUCCUAUCGAAGUGCUGCCGAAAUUUUCAGUGAAUUCUUGCUUCUUUCUCAUAUCAUUCCUCAUCUCUUUGCAACCUUCAAGGAUUGUUGGUGUCACUCGUUUGUCAAAGAAGCAACUAAGUUUUACCUUUUGCUUUUCUCAUCCUCUCCCCCUUUCAUUCUUGGAUCUCGGGGCGAGAUCCUCUUGUAGUGUAGGAGAGUUGUGACAGCCCGACACCGACGCUCCAGAAGAUUCCCCUUUUAAUUCGUUGUCGUGGUGUGUUUUAUUUUGUUUGUUGCACUCAUCACGCAUCAUGCAUCAUCUCCAUCAUCUCUGUUGUGAUUGCUUCCCUUAUUGUGUUCAUGUUUUUUUUCUUCUUCUGCUACUCCUAGCCACUCCUUGACCCUUCAUCUUUUUCCCAUUCUCAACUUAUUUCAAUCCAUUGCAUCCUCUUGUUUCAUACCAUCUUCAUUUUUGUUCUCAUGCACAAUGCUUUGCCCUACCUCCCAAAUUCUCCAUGCCACUUCCUCCUAGUCGUUUUCUUUUUUUUAGUUGCCAAUAUUAUCUUACCCAAAUAAAUGUUCCUAUUGUGCCCAUAAAUCAUAUGUAUUAUGUAGGGUCACCCUAUGAAAUUGCAAGCCAUUCGGAUUUGGUUUGGUUGGGUUUUAAAAUCAGACCAGUUGGAAUUAAAUUCAAACUUGUUUGAAUUUAUAGUCUGUAAAACACCUCCAACAAUUUUUUAGAAUUUUGCACUUUUUUUUUCUGGUUUCCAAGGAAAAUAUUUAUCUCUAUCUAUUUUUCCCAACUGUACUUUUUUCUUCUUCUCAAGCUUCUAUUUUAUUUAAAUAGAAAAGAGAGAAUAUUUUGAGAUAGAGGAAGAAGUUGGCCCAACCACUAACCUGUAGACAACCUUCAAGCCCAAGCCCACCUCUCCUCCUUCUCCUACCUACGUCACCUCUGUACGAACCCUCUGGCCACCAUUGAUCGCUUCUCUCCUCCAUCAAACGGCCACCAGAGCCCCCUCCCCACCUAUUUAGCACAUGCCUGCAACCUAGGGUUCUUCCUCGACCCGUUUUUCCUCCUCCUCUCCCUCCUAGCGCCGUCGGGGCGAGCCACUUGACACCGUCGUCGCCAUGGACGGGCUGUGGUGAGCUCGACGCCGGCAGCUGUUCAUCGCCCUUCGUCUUCUUCGUCAGCGCCAUAAGCACGCGGAGGCCAUGGGAGAUCCAUUCCCGCAGCAACCAGACACCGAGGCCGGUGCACGACGCCCUGACGACGAGCAUCUUCUUCACCUCCGGCGAUCUUUUCUGCGGAGUACCUCGACAUCGCGCGGUCCUUUCCUGCGCCGACUCUCCUCUCCGCCCCGUGGUGAGCAGUCGAAGCCUCGUCCCCUCUCCUCUGUCCGGAGUAUCGCGUAGCUGCGUCGCCAGCGUGUCGCCUUGUCGCGCGGCUCUGUAGAGCAGGGCAGCGGAGGUAGCUAGUAGCGGCAAGUAGCAGUAGAAGCCGCAUCAUGCACCCAGCAGUAGCAGCACCACAGCAUCCACAACAUGAAGUGGCAGUAGCAGCGAGCGAGCAGUGCAUUCGCACGCGUGUAGAGCAGCUCGUACGUCGCGUGCGUCGCCGGAGUCGCUCAUCCGUGCGUGUCUCUAUUGCCAUGGAGCUAGCCCCCUGUCUUGCGUUCAACUAGCGUAGAUCCCCCAGUUCGAGCAAAUGCCCCACGGUAGCCUAGUGGCAAUAGAGCGUGCGUUGCACCGCAGCGUCCUGAGUUCGAUCCCCAGCGUGCCCCUUUUUCUUUUUUGGGGUUUUUCCCAUCGGCGCUCUUCGAGUAAUUAACUUAGGGAAGUUUCUUCCCGUAGUAGAGCAGUGUUACGAUCCCUAGCAAGCUGGUUCGACCGAGCCAUGGCGACCGUGAGGUCCUGGGUUCGAGUCCCCAUGUCGCCCUUUUUUUACUGUUUUAUAUUUCCUGUUGUGAUUAGGGAGUUAGUCAUUGUAUGUCUGCAUAUCUUCCCAUACUAGUUCAGCUGCAUGUGGCUAGCCCAUUGGUGAUGGUCGUGCACUCCACCAGGGAGAUGGUGGGUUCGACUCCCACCUCUCUCAUAUUUUCCUUUUAUGUGUUGUGACUUGUGUGUGCCACUGAUAGGUGGUCCCAGGGCCCUGGUGACUAUGACCAGUAGGCCCCCUGUCAGUUUACAUUUUAGUGGUGACAUAUUUGUUACUUGUGUGAAAUAUCCUUGUUUGGAGUAAUUCCAGAAAUGGAAUGGCCUGAUCUGGUAUAUCCCAAAUUGGGCAGGCUCAGGAACAGUUCAUGUUCUUGACUAUGCUGUAGUUUGAUCCUGUGUUAUUUUUAUUUUAUUGUUUGUGGUGUUUUUCUGCAUGUAACAUGGGCAGUAUGAUAUAUGGAUUUGGGGUAGCAGAACCCAAUGAAUCCAAUGGUGACACUGGAUUCCAGUCGUGAGCAGUUAUGCAGAAGUGUCACUUUGUGUUGAGGUGGCACUUGUUGACCUCGUAGGUUGGUGUAAGUGCAUAGUUAGGGAUUGAGCAUACAUGCAUCAUUUUAGUUAGUGCUUCCUGUUGUGCAUGUCUCUUGAAUGUAGCUCCGUUCUUUGUUCCACGUGUUAACCGACUAGGAUGACAUGUAGAAUCACCGCUUCACCUCUUGCCAAGUUUAACCACAUUUAAUAGUGCCGUGUAUCUAAUCGGGAUAGAACUAAAUAACUCAUAUGUGGAGUUUCGUCAAUAUGCAAAUCGUUGCAUAUUGAACUUCACUUAAUGUGUAGUGUUUGUUUGUGUGAUUUGUCAUGUCGUGACUUGCAUGUAUUCAGCUGCUCAUGCAUCAUAUGUGUUGUGCAUCGUGUGGUGAAUUCCGUGUGUUGAUUUGUGUUUCCGGUUUGCUUCGUUCCGAUAGAGUUCCGCAAGCGUGUCGGAAUGUGAGGACCCGUUCGACUACGUCAGUUCGUCUGCUUCACGGAGGCAUUCUUCUUCCAAGCGGGAUCUCAGGCAAGAUGAUCAUUUCCUCAGAUACCAUUACUAUCAUUGGCAUGCUAGUUAUUUCGAUGCUAUAAUUUAUGUCUUGUUGCCUACCACAUGUUAAAUCUCAGCCUCUCAACAAUGCCAUGAAACCUUCAACCUGUUCAACCUAGCAAACCACUGAUUGGCUAUGUUACUGCUUGCUUAACCCUGUUGAUAGCGUUGCUAGUUGCAGGUGCAGUAGCUUCCAUGUGAAACAUGGGUUCCUUGUCAUAUCACCAUAUUAAAUGCUAUUUAAUUUAAUGCACCUAUAUACUUGGUAAAAGGUGGAAGGCUCGGCCUUUCUAGCCUCGUGUUUUGUUCCACCUUUGCCCCCUUUAGUUACCGGCUACUGGUGUUAUGUUCCAUAAAUGAGCGCUCCUAACACGAUCGGGGUUGUUAUGGGGACCCCCUUGAUAAUUCGUUUUAGAUUAAAGCUGGUCUGGCAAGGCCCAACAUUGGUACUACAUUUUCCUAAUAACCUAAUAAUAAUGCAUAGGGACCCGUCGGCACCCGCGGACUAUUUUAAUCAACCCCCGGGCCAGUGUUCCUCAUGAGUGUUGGUCCCACCUGAGCGAUGUCCGGCGCCCCUCUGGUCACCCGGAGGUUUAGCAAUCCCGACGUCUAGCUCAUCCGCCGUGUCCUGAGAACGAGGUACGCGACUCCUAUCGGGAUCGUCGACACGUCAGGCGGCCUUGCUGGAUUAGUUUUACCUUUGACGAGAUAUCUUGUGCAUCGGGAUUCCGGUGAUGCUUUGGGUAAUCUCAGAGUUGAGGUUUUCCAUUAGGGAAUCCGACGAGAUCGCGAGCUUCAUGAUUGAGGAUUUCUAUGCGGCUUGUGGUAAUUUGUGAUGGACUAGUUGGAGCACCCCCGCAGGGUUAAAUCUUUCAGAAAGCCGUGCCCGCGGUUAUGUGGCAACGUGGAAGCUUUGUUUAACAUUGGUUCUAGAUAACUUGAAGUUAACUUAAUUAAAACAUGCCAACUGUGUGCGUAACCAUGACUGUCUCUUUCGUGAGUUCCUUCUCCGAUCGAGGACACGGUGGGGUUAUGUCUGACGUAGGUAGGUGUUCAGGAUCAUUCUUUUGAUCAUCUGUAGUGACGUCCGUUAUGCGUAGAUCUCCCCCCUCUUAUUUCUUGUACUCGUAAGUUAGCCACCAAAUAUAUGCUUAGUCGCUGCUGCAACCUCACCAUUUAACCAUGCCUCACCCAUUAAGCUUUGCUAGUCAUGAUACCUUUGGAAAUGAGAUUGCUGAGUCCCCUAUGGCUCACAGUUUACUACAACACCAGUUGCAGGUACAGAUACAGGUUACUCGACGUGAGCGCGUUGAUUGUUCAUUUGGAGUUGCUUCUUCUUCUUCUUCUUCCUCGAUCUAGGAUGGGUUCCAGGCCGGCAGCCUGGGAUAGCAAGGAUGGACGUCGUUUUUCUUUUGUCGUUUGUUUUCGUCCGUAGUCGGACCCUGCUCUUACUCUUGAUGAUUAUGUAAUGUACUGAUGUGACUCUGAUGUAGCUUGUGGCGAGUGUAAGCCAACUCUUUAUAUGUCUCUCCUUUUCAGUACAUGUACUUGUAACGAUAUCCAUUCUUGCGACACGACGAGAUGCGCUUCUAUCCCUGACGAGGCCCCCGUGCCAAAUUGAGGAUAGGGUCGCAUCUUGGGCGUGACAGAGACUUACAAGGAUAUCAAAUCAUGCAUAUAAGAAAUCAGCAAAGACUCAAAUAUAAAUCAUAGAUAAUCUGAUCACAAAUCCACAAUUCAUCGGAUCUCGACAAACACACCGCCAAAGAGGAUUACAUCGGAUAGAUCUCCAUGAAGAUCAUGGAGAACUUUGUAUUGAAGAUCCAAGAGAGAGAAGAAGCCAUCUAGCUACUAACUAUGGACCCGUAGGUCUGAAGUGGACUACUCACGAGUCCUUGGAGAGGCAAUGAUGUUGAUGUAGAAGCCCUCCAGCUCCAAAGUCCCCUCCGGCAGGGCACCGGGAAGGGUCUCCAGAUGAGAUCUCGCGAAAACGGAAGCUUGCGGCGGUGGAAAAGUGGUUUCGUGGACGCCCUGAUUUUUUCUGGGAUUUUAGGGAAUAUAUAGGCCAAAGAGCUAGGGCAGGGGAGCGUGAGGGAGGCCACAAGCCUGGAAGCCGCGGGCCCCCCGGCCGCGACUACAGGGCUUGUGGGCUCCCUGUGGGCCUCCUGCCUUGGCCCUCAAGUCCCCCGAUCUUCUUCUGUUCUGGAAAAAUUCAUUUCGGUGAUUUUAUUCCCUUUGGACUCCGUUCCAAAAUCAGAUCUGAAAAGAGUCAAAAACACAGAAAAAACAGGAACUAGCACUUGGCACUGAAUUAAUAAGUUAGUCCCAAAAAAGAUAUAAAAGGUAUAUAAAACAUCCAAAGUUGACAAGAUAACAGCAUGAAACCAUCAAAAAUUAUAGAUACGUUUGAGACGUAUCAGCGUGCGAGUGGGCCACAAGCCCACAGGCCGCGGCCACCCCCCUUGGCCGCGCCGUGAGGGCUUGUGGGGCCCACGUGGCACCAACGCACCCAAACUCAGCUCUAUAUCUUCUGUUUCGCCCGGAAAAAAUCGAGAGAAGGUUUCAUCGCGUUUUACGAUACGGAGGCGCCGCCACCUCCUGUUCUUCAUCUGGAGGGCAGAUCUGGAGUCCGUUCGGGGCUUCGGAGAGGGGAAAUCAUCGCCAUCGUCAUCAUCAACCUUCCUUCAUUGACAAUUCCAUGAUGCUCUUCAUCGUUCGUGAGUAAUCUCAUCGUAGGCUUGCUGGACGGUGAUGAGUUGGAUGAGAUCUAUCAUGUAAUCGAGUUAGUUUUGACGGCGAUUGAUCCCUAUUAUCCACUAUGUUCUAGAUUGAUGUUGCUACUACUUGGCUAUGCUUAAUGCUUAUCAUUAGGGCCCGAGUGCCAUGAUUUCAGAUCUGAACCUAUUAUGUUGUCGCCAAUAUAUGUGUGUUUUAGAUCCUAUAUUGCAAGUUGUAGUCACUUUCUAUGUGUUAUGACCCGGCAACCCCGGAUGACAAUAGCCGGAACCACUCCCGGAGAUGACCAUAGUAUGAGGAGUUCAUGUAUUCACCGCGUGUUAAUGCGUUGGUUCGGUUCUUUAUUAAAAGGAGAACCUUAAUAUCCCAUAGUUUCCAUUAGGACCCCGCUCGCAUGGGAGGGAUGGACAAUAGAUGUCAUGCAAGUUCUUUUCCCUUAAGCACGUAUGACUACAUACGGAAUACAUGCCUACAUUAGAUUGACGAACGGGAGCUAGUUACAUAUCUCUCCGUGUUAUAGCUGUUACAUGAUGAAUCACAUCCGUCAUACUCAUCCAUCACCAAUCCAUUGCCUACGAGUCUUUUACUACUGGUCCUUGCUACGUUACUUUGUCCAGGCUUGUCCCUUGCUACAAAAGGGAUUGGGCCACUUUGGUGCUACUGCUGUCGCUACUGAUGUUACUCUGCUGUUCCUUACCACUGCUGUCACUACUGCUGUUCCUUGCUACUUUGCUGUUACUUGUUGCAAGAUCUUUUCCGACACCGUUGCCGGGAAAGAAUAGUUACUCGCCCACGUGCAACUUACUGGCGCCAUUGAUACAACAGUUAGGAAUAGUCUGCCGUCAACAGAUCUGUUUAUGGCACCGUUGCUAUGAUACUACUUUGCUACUGAUACUUUGCUUGCAGACACUAAUCUUUCAGGUGUGGUUGAAUCUGACAAACUCAGCUGCUAAUACUUGAGAAUAUUCUUUCGCUUCCCCUUGUGUGCGAAUCAACAAAUUUGGGUUGAAUACUCUACCCUCGAAAACUGUUGCGAUCCCCUACACUUGUGGGUUAUCAGUUCCCACCCACUUUUGGCCCAUGUAGCAGCUUGGGGCUGGUGACCCUUGCCGGUGGACCCCCGGAACCCUUCCGGUGGUCCUGGUACAUUACCGGUGUCACCCGAAACACUUCCGGUGACCAAAUCCUCACUUACUAUAUAUGAAUCUUUACCUCCGGACCAUUCUGAAACUCCUCAUGACGUUCAGGAUCUCAUUUGGGACUCCGAACAACCUUCGGUAACCACAUACACUAUUCCCCUAUAACCCUAGCAUCAUCGAACCUUAAGUGUGUAGACCCUACGGGUUCGGGAAGCAUGCAUACAUGACCGAGCCACCUCUCCGGUCAAUAAACAACAGCGGGGUAUGGAUAUACAUGUUGGUUCCCACAUGUUCCACAAUGAUCUCAUUGGAUGAACCACGAUGACGGGGAUUCGAUCAAUCCCGUAUGUAAUUCCCUUUGUCUACCGGUAUGAUACUUGCCCGAGAUUCGAUCGUCGGUAUCCCUAUACCUUGUUCAAUCUCAUUGUCGGCAAGUCUCUUUACUCGUUCCAUAACACAUCAUCCCAUGGCUAACUCCUUAGUCACAUUGAGCUCAGUAUGAUGAUGUAUUACCGAGUGGGCCCAGAGAUACCUCUUCGUCACACGGAGUGACAAAUCCCAGUCUCGAUUCGUACAACCCAACAGACACUUUCGGAGAUACCUGUAGUGCACCUUUAUAAUCACCCAAUUAUGUUGUGACGUUUGAUACACCCAAAGCACUCCUACGGUAUCCAGGAGUUGCACAAUCUCAUGGUCUAAGGAAAUGAUACUUGACAUUUGAAAAGCUUUAGCAGACGAACAACAUGAUCUAGUGCUAUGCUUAGGAUUGGGUCUUGUCCAUCACAUUUUCUCCAAUGAAGUGAUCCCGUUAUCAAUGGCAUCCAAUGUCCAUGAUCAGGAAACCAUGAUCAUCUCUUGAUCAACGAGCUAGCCAACUAGAGGCUCACUAGGGACACAUUGUGAUAUAUAUAUUCACACAUGUAUUACGGUUUCCGGUUAAUACAAUUAUAGUAUGAAUAAUAGACAAUUAUCAUGAACCAGGAAAUAUAACAAUAACCACUUUAUUAUUGCCUCUAGGGCAUAUUUCCAACACAUUAUUCGGUAUUAGUUAUAUUUAAUGUUUUCUUAUGAUGGUUUUUGUUCCUUGGUUGGGCGUUUCUCAAUUUAUUUUCUAGCCUUCACUUGUACUAAGAGGGAAUGUUGCUUCUGCAUCCAAAUCCUAAACCCAAAGGUGUUCCAAAUGAGUCCAUCAUACCUACCUAUAUGUGAUAUUUCAGUGUCAUUCCAAGUAAAUUUGUAUGUGCUAACUCUAAUGUUCAGAAUAAACUUUUGUUUUGUGUGCCUGUACCGCUCAUGAAGCGGCGAGGGGUGGCUCGUAUCUUCCAUGUUAAAUAGAAUAUUCUCAAAAUGAGUGUUUAUUCACUUGUCAUUGCACGAGAGUAUGGCGGUAAUAGGAUGCACAGUCCCGAUAUGCAAAGGAAAAUUAUUUUAUGUUGUCAAAUAAUAAAUUCAUUGGAAAGUGUUGGUAUGGAUGGUACCCGUGGAUGCGGCUAGCCAUGGAGUGUGAGAAUGGUGGAAAAGGAAUAAACUUUAUUUUCAGUUUGUGAACCGCCUAUGAUUUGUUUAGCAUGGAAGAUAUUGGUAACUCUUAGUAGUUUUCGUUCACAGGAAAAGCAUGCCACCCAAAAUAUUUUAGCCCUCAAUUUUUUCACUUUGAGCUCUCGCACCGCUACAAAUCUCUGCUUCCCUGUGCAAAGGGCCUAUCUAUUCACUUUUAUGCAAUUUUUAUUUUUAUUGAGUAUUCAUCUUCUCUUAUAAAUCACCAACCACAGAACACUGUUAUCAUACUUGAGCAUUGGAUGUAGCUAAUAUUUGAGUGUGUUGCAUGAAUGGAUCAAUGAUUGAGCAUGAUGGGCUAGGGAUAACUUUCUUUAGCGUUGAUAUUUUGAAAGACAUGGUUGCUUGUUGAUAUGCUUGAGUAUUGAAGUUUUCGUGUUGAAUUAUAGACUAUUGCUUUGAAUCAUCUACAUGUCAAUAUGUCCAUCCUAUAAAGAAGAGCAUAUGGUGAAUAUGAUAGGUAGCAUUCCAUGUCAAAAAUUCUGUUUCCAAUUGCUACUUUAUCAUGAUGAGUUUUAUGAAAAAGAGUUGUUGUUAUGAUGCUAGGAAAAGUGAUUGAAAUUAUCAUUGAUCAAAAUUAUGCACUAUGCUAGCAUUCACACUUCAUAAAUUAUUUCUUUUAUCAUUUACAUACUCGAGGAUGAGUAAGAAUUAAGCUUUGGGAUGUUGAUACGUCUCCAACGUAUCGAUAAUUUAUGAAGUAUUCUUGCCAUGUUUGCCUAUGUUUACAAUACUUUUAUAUGGUUUUGAUGCACUUUAUAUGAUUUAUUUAGAACUAACCCGGACUAACAUUGUUUUCACCAGAAUUACCAUGGUCUUGUUUUUUGCAAAAAUAAAAGUUCUCCAAAUGCAACUAAAUUUUUGACGAUUUUUUUGGAACAAAAGAGACACUAGAAGCUUUGUGGGAGGACCAGAAGGUGAUGGAGGUGUCCACUACCCACCAGGGUGCGCCACAAGCCUUGCUCGUGGGCUGGUGGGUAGUGGGCACCUCGUGGCCCAUCUUGGCGUGAUUCCAACGCCCAAAAAUCCUAUAAAUACAAAAACCUCCAGAAAUAACCCAAGAUCAGAAGUUCCACCGCCGCAAGCCUUUGUAGCCACAAAAAACCAAUCGGGAACCCGUUCCGGCACCCUGUCGGAGGGGGAGAUCAUCUCCGAUGCCAUCUUCAUCAUCCCAACGGAAGCCAUGACGAGGAGGGAGUAGUCCACUCUCAGGGUUGAGGGUUUGUACCAGUAGCUAUGUGCUUAAUCUCUCUCUCUCUCUCGUGUUCUUGAGAUGUCAUGAUCUUGAUAUAUCACGGGCCUUAUUAAUAUAGUUGGAUCAUAUGGUGUUUGUCACAUGCUAUUGUUGUGAUGAAUUGUGCCUUCACUUUAAGAUCUCGUUAUGUUAGGUUGAAUAUUCAGGUUUGAGAGCACAUGAUGUAUGUCUUGCAUGCAGAUACCCGUAGUGACAUUGGGGUAUUCAAGUGAUUCACUUGAUAUAUGUUGUGGCAUCAACUUGCGUAUUCCGGUGACCUUGGAGAUCUAUGUAUAGGGGUUGAUUGCAUGUUUCCAUACUAUGUUCUCCGGUAGAAAUCUUGGGGUGCUCCUUGAAGUUCUUUGUGUUGGAUUGAAUAUGAUGAAUCUGAAAUUGUUUGAUGCAAGUCCUAUAGUUAGCCCACGGAUAUUUAAGGUGACAUUAGAGUAUCUAGGUGACAUAGGGUUGAUCGAUAUGUAUCAAUGGUGUUAUUUUAGUAUGAACUCUUGGAUAGAUCGAUCAAAAAGGAUAACUUGUUAUUUUAGUAUGAACUCUUGGAAAGACUGAUCGGAAAGAAUAACUUUGAGGUGGUUUCGUACCCUACAAACAAUUUAUUCUUAUGUUCUCCGCCAAAUAGGAACUUUGGAGUGAUUCUUUAUCGCACGUUCAGGGAUUGUUAUGUGAUCCAAUUAUAUGCCAACAGUAACAUGUCACUCAUUUUUGGUGCCAAUUGAUGUUGUCGGGCAUUCUUCCGUCAUUUAAUUUAGCUGAUGUGGAUUAUGAUCGUGGCACACGUAAGCAAAUUGAAGAGUAUGGAACUCCAUAAAUUAGAGAUCAAAUGAGAAGGGCAUAUUUGUUGAAAGAUGUGGGGCGCUUGUAUGGUCAUUAUUUUCCUCGAACUCGUUUUGGGAAAGAUUGGCGGAACUUCAAAGAAGCAUAGUAUAAAGAUUAUGACUGGCUAGAGUAUAGUAAAGAGACAAAAUCUUCCUAUUGUUUCCAUUGUUUUAUUUUCAAGCCUCCAAGCAUUGGUGAGAAAUUUGGGCAUGAUGUCUUCACUAAGAAAGGGUUCAAAGAUUGGAAGAAGGUUGUGGAAAUAUUCAAUGCUCAUGUAAGUGGACCAAACAACGCUCACAACAAUGCUAGAAGUCGGUGUGAAGAUUUCAAAAACCAAAAACAAAGUAUGUCAUAUGCAAUCCGUUGUCAUGUUGAGAAAUCACAUAUUGAAUAUGAAGAGCGUUUGAGGGUUGUUGUAGGUGUGGUAAGGUUUCUUGUCUCUCAGGGUCUAGCUUUUCGUGGACACGAUGAGACUAUCACUUCCAUGAACAGGGGUAAUUUCCUUGAUAUGUUGGAUUGGUAUGCGAAAAGAUGCAAAUAUGUAGCUGAUGUGGUCCAUAAAAAUGCUCCUGGCAAUCAUCAAUUGACUUGUCAUAAAAUCCAAAAGCAUGUGUUCCAUUUUCAUGCCUUGAAGACCCGUCGAGGUCAUCUAUCUCCACAAGCUCGUGUUCAUUAUGCAAUUACAUCUUAAAGGUAUACUACCACCGAGUUACCAUCAUAUGACCAUAUCAAAAUAUACAACUCUCAUCACACUUGUGCUAUUGCAUUCAUAAUUUUGUAGGUCUCUUUUAGAAAUUGGAAUUGUGGGAUCAUAUUUUGGCACAAGUGAGCAUUUCAAGCGGUAAGAGUCCAUGUUAGCAGUUUACUAGUUUGUAAGAGCUUUUUAAUUCUUGUGUUGUUGAAUGCUAUGAGUUUUGAUUGAAUAGAGUUGCAUUUGUACCAAAAAAAUUAGACAUUAAAUAUUCACCCAGCUAACUUCAAUUCCUCGGUCUGCCACUACCAACAGACGCCAGACGUUACCUAGGGUGUAAUUUGGGAACCCAAGGGAAACCAGGAUUCCCCCAUCACUCGACCCCUAGGGCGAUUUCCAUAGAGUAUACUCUAGGGGAAAUGUUUCCCCAAGUGCUUUGGACCUUUUGCUAAGGGUAUCCGACCCUAGGGCUAUUUACAUAUUCUAGUAGUGACAGUCUAUCACCUUUAUCAUAAACCAUGGGGUGAGUUUCUAUCAAAUCUCGUGUUCAUUUUGAGUCGUAAAACAUCCUAUCACUUUGCGGGUGGACCAAGCAAAAAUAGUUAGAGUUUUAUUGGAGCAUUACUAUGUGUCCUAAUUAUUUAACUAUCACGCGCAAGAAAGAAAGAAAAUGAUUAUUGGUUUUGUCAGGCGGAGUGUGGUGUGUGGCUUACGGUAACACGUUUAAUUACAAUACUAUAUUUUCUAGCACUUUUAGCAUGAUUAAUAGGAUGGUUGUGUCGGACGAAGGAGUUUUAUGUGGCAUCUAGUAAUUGAUUAUAUUGCAUUGCUUUUUUACAUGCGCUUUUACUGUGUGCACAAUAAGGACAGUAAAACUGAGCCUAAACCGAGGUCUCUCAGCGAUUGGCGUUUUCGGCCGUUCAUUUUUGCGAUCUGGCCAUUUUUGGCUGUCAGAUUUCGUGUGGAACCAAUCAAUACCGCACUAUGUGAAAUCUAACCCAUCAGUCCUGUGGGCUGCUGCUCCAGAGGCCGAAACAGAGGCAUGUGGUAAACUGGGCCUUUUGUGGCAGCCCAAUCAACCCAUCCUAUCGGUUGUGCAUACAACCAAGAGCCCAGCCCACCUCGACUCUCCUCUCGCCUACGCAACCCCUUCUCCUCGUAGGGUUUCUCGAGCGGAGGGCAUCGCACCGCCGCCGACCAUCCUUCCUCUGUCCCCGCCGCGCUUUUCAUCAUACAGCGUAUCCGCUCACCAGUCCAGCUCUCCUUCAGCGCGACGUUGGAACCCAUCGUCCGCACCCUGACAACGAAGCCGGCGCCGGAUNCCGCUGCUUCACCCUUACCUCGACCUUGCAUCCGAACGCCGUCUCCCUACCUCGGUGAGCUUCUGUAUGCCUUCUGGAUUGUUGCUGGUAGGACUGAAUUGCUGCUGCGGUGAAUAUUUUGCAUGUAGAAUUUUUUGCUAAUUCUACAACUAUACUAAUUGGUAUUUGACUAUACAAUCUGCUAAUGUGUGGUAAUUGUAAUGUAAUAUUGUUGAUUUCAAUGUAUGCAUAAAUGGUGUCAAAGAUGCAUUUUUUUGUGAUUGUUAAUGUGUGUGGCGGCGAACAGCGUUAUGUCUUCCAGUAGCGGCUUUUGUCAAGAUGGUUGGUUGCUGAGAUGGUUUGUUGUGGGAAGGCAGUCGACGCCGGCGGCGGCCCAGAAGGUGACGUAGAGGAGCUUCAAGCUCGGGCUAUAGUUCCCCGCAGGCAGUAUCGCAAGAUUCCUCAAGGCUGACAAGUACACCGAGCGCGUCGAGCCGGCCCCCCCAUCUCCUCGCCGUCGUGCACGAGUACCUUGCCGCUGAGGUGCGUUGCUAUUGGAUCUCAUCCUUGCCCUUGUUCUUUGAGUCUAUUCCCCGACCUAGUUUGUUCUUGGGUUCCCAUUAAUCAUGCUAUUCUUAGAUUUGUUUUCGACCGUACCAUCGAUUAGUAGCAGUGCCUGAAUAUUUAUGCUAAUCUUGCCAUUCUUCCCCCAUUUAUGCAGGCCAUGGAGCUCGCCAGCAACGCUGCCAGGGACAACAAGAAGACCCGUAUUGUGUCCCGCCACAUCCAGCUUGACAUGCACAAUGAUGAGGAGCUAAUCAAGCUGCUCGGUGGUUUCACCUGUAGUUGCGCCACUCGCCGCCACCAUCUCUGGCAUGGAUAUCUUCCAGAGCCGCACCAUCCUUCGAGGUAAUGUCCCCUCGCCCUUGUCCUCCUCGUCAUCAUACUCCCAUAGGUGUGAGUGAUAGCAAUACCCACUUCUCCAUACUCCCCUCCACACAACACUGCCGGCUAAUACGUCCUCGGUCAAAUAACGAAUCAGGCACAAUUAGAACUAUGGACUUCAAUACCUUCCCUUUGGGUUAACUUUUUGGAGUUUGCACUAAAUUUGUUUGAUGAAAAUGCAAUGAUAGUGUUGUGCAGUAUGAUGUUAUCCCUCGUGAAUAACCAGUCCAUGUUAAUUCUCGCUGGUCAAAACCAAACUUCAACUUCUCAUGAUACCAUAUUUGCUUUAUUUGAUAUAAGACAUGAUAUAGGGGGUAGGCAACAUUGAUCCGAAGAACCAUGUCAGCCAUCUUGUCCUCAGGUGCUACAAUACUGAAAAAGAGGAUAUUAAUGAGAAUGACACUUCAUAGUUGAUUUGGUAACAUCAUAAACUUGUAUUGGUAUAUUCUCGUCAUCAUGUUAGUAGUCGGCAAUAAAUAACUGGUUUUGAUUCAUCCAUCUAGCUCGGCAUGAUGGUUAUCUGCUCGGUCUCCCUGAGUUUAACAUAAUAAAUCUCCAACUAUAAAUACAUGGUUUCAAUUCAUCCAUCUUGCUCGGCAUGAUGGUUAUCUCUCAAUCUUCCUGAAUUUAGCAUGACCAAUCUCCAAAAUAACUGGUUUUUAUUCAUCCAUCUAGCCCGGAUGAUGAUUAUAUGCUCAUUCUAUGUAGAAUUAGCAUGAUCAAUCUCCAAUUUGUGAGUAUUUUAACCCAAUUCAUUCUCUAAAUAUGGCACCUAUCUCAUGUUGGUUGUAGGGAACACAAGAAAGACAGGAGCUUGGAGCAAGUCCAUCCAUGUCGGUUCCUUUUCAUUUAUUUAUUUUGCAAAUUCCUUUUCAUUUAUUCAUGAGCGUACUUAUACUAUUGUUCCUGUCUAAAAUUCCUUUUCCGUUUGCAUGAUCUGAGACAUGAGGGAUUGCUACUCCGUAGGCAGUGGCAUACUCCGAGAUGACAACAUACCUGAAUGAGCUGAUGAGAGGUGAUGGGGAAACGCUAACGAUGGUUUCUUGGAAAUAUGUAGACCCAUAUAUAAUUUAUAUAGACCUAUAUGAUUUAUUAUUGGCACAGAUAGCAUACGCAUAUUAGCCUAUGACAUUGUUGCUGCAGAUUCCAGUGUUUGCAUUUUGCACCUUGAUUUCCUUUUCAUAUGGAUUUAGUAAGACCAUCACAUGGGUGGUUUUCAUUUGCCACCUUGAUUUCCUUGUAUGGUUUUAAUAAGACCAUGACAUGGGUUAAUUGCUCAGGAGUGUGCCAACAUCCAACAAGAUAUGGUGCUGCAAAAUGAAUGUGGGGUUUGCAACAUCCAGGUUGGUGUGGUGCAGUACCCUCUGCUAUUCAUAUCUUCUUUUUUUGUUGCAAUUCUGACGUCCUAAUUUUUUUUGCUUAGUUGUCAUAGAUUUCCGUUCACUUGGUCUCUAGAUAUCCAGAAAUCUGUGAUGAAACAUGUUGCUUGAAUGGUCAAUUCCAUCGUUGGCUAUCUUUUAGACUUCCUACACUUCUUGCAUUAUCUUCUUUAGAGAAAAUUUGUUAUAUGCUAGGAAAUAAGCUUAAAAUAUAAUUAAGAAAAUACUAAUAGUUAAUUAGUAUAACUAUGGGAACAUUCUUAGUCCAAUAGUAAUUAGUAUAACUAUGGCGCCACCUAGCUUGCUAUUUUUGACCUUCAAGCCAUCCAAUAGUCCUAUGUCGUUGCCCCAGUGCACUUGCUUCUUAUUGUAUUUUUCCUACCAUCCUAUCAAUUGUUUUGGACAAUGUCUCUAGAUGUGUGGUUCAUCUGCUUACUGCAUGAGACAUCUUUCCAUAUUUAUCCGAACCAUGUAAGUCACACCAAAGAUGUAUUCUCACAAAUCCAUCUUAAUCAGCACUGUCUAUCUGGCUCUAGCUUGUUGUCUAUGUCAGGUUAGACUUUAAUAUCCUCAAUGAUCGAAAACCCUUAGUUGAUUCAUUCAUGUUUGGUAUUAUUUAUUUAGUAGUAUGAAAUUUUGAUACAACUAAGCGUAUUUACAUAGUAUAUGUAUGGUCCUCGAGUGUUUGUACUAAAAUUCCCUAUGAAGAAGCUUCUCUGUAGUAUGUAGCUUUUCUUUUAUCAUUGUGUAUAUGCAGAUAUUGUUUUUUUCAACAAUGUGCGCUAGAUGAUGAUUAUGAGCAUUUCCUGUACAAGGUAUACUGUCGUGCCAAAGGUUGUACUCGUAGCAACAGCAUGAUGGUCUUUUUUCCCACCCCAAGUAUGUGAUGAUUCAUGAUUGGUCCGUCUUCUUGCCUGUCACUUCCGAACGGGGUGGUGGAUUCUUGUUUCUUUUGAGCUGUUGUCUGCAUUGUUACCUCAAUUGUUAGCAAGCUAACGGAGGAAUUUCCUGGAAUCCGCUGGUACCUGUGCUUACAGGGUUUCCAUGCAUACUGUAAAGUUGAAGAAGGUAGAGAUAGUAUCUACUUCCGACCAUCUCCUUUCAACCUCAAAUUGAUGAGUGUGUUCUUAUUUCAUUGUUACUUGGUAUGUUUGUUGAAUAUCAAUGCAUUUUGUUCUCAGAAGCAAACUUGACCUCUUUCAGGGAGUGUGCAACAGAGGACCUGUUUCUAGAGGGAAGUAUCAUGUAUGCAAAGCCAGUAGAGUAUGAACAUUUACUUGCAUCCUCACAGUAACUAUGUUUAUUUUUUAUUCAUCCCUAUAACCGGGUGCAAAACUGCAAGUAUGCCAGCUGCCUGUCAAUGUUUAAGGUUAUUGCUGCCAUUCAUUUACUGAGUGAAAGAUUUGUUGCUUCGUCGUUUAAAAAGAAGACCGAAUUUUUUCAUGAAGCAGUUUAUUUGAGUCCAUAUAUCCUUUUCCAAUAGGUAUAUUGUCUACUAAGUAUUUAUAGAAAUUCAUAUCUGGGAGAAAAGAAAAUCACAAUAGAUGGACGCGGCAACGCGCGCCAUCGAUGAUCUAGUGAAAAACUAUCUGUGGAAACAAAAGUUUUGAUAGGAAUUAGUGAAAACCAAAUGAAAUCUAUGUUUCAAGUGUUCCAAAAAUUCUAAAAAAAAAUAUAGAGGUUAUAUUCUACAAACAUGUCGAAUUUUGAUUUUGCUAAACAUUGUGUGCCUGAUAUUAUUUUUGUCAAGUCGGUCAAUUCCGCAUGGCAUAAGGCCGAAGGCGGCGGCGACGUGAGAAGCUGCACCGACAAGCAUCAACCACGCCGAGGCCAAGUCACGCAAGGACAAACUUGAGAGGGGGUGAUGGUGUGGGGUUCGGCGGGGUUCUGCAGAUGAGGGUUAGAGAGAUCACCGGAGCGGUGGCCAGCAACGAUGGUGAGAGGGGUUGAGUAAGAGCAUUUCCAGCCGUUAGGCGCCCCCAGGGGCCGAAAUAGCGCCGACCGGGGCCAACUGACGAAAAAACAGCUUGGGGGCGCAGGUGGCUUGGGUUCCCACCCGCGCCCCACCCCAGCCGGCCAGUGUGGAGAGAGAUAGAGAGAGAGAAAAGAUUCCUUGUUUGCAUACACACCGAUGAGGUUUGCACAUAUAAAAAUAACGCCGAAUGCUCCAAAGGGGCUGGGUGUGGUCUAUAGUCGUCGGGGCUAGUUUUGAUCAAAUCCGACGCAAAACAACGUCUCGAGAACGUGACUGAAUGAUUUUUUUAAGCCGACGAUUAAAAAGACGCUUAAAAGGACGAGGCGGUGCAUUGUACAGGCGAUAGGUGCGGCGUAGGCUGGGGCAAGUUGCCUGAGGCUGGAUCAUGCGUUGAGAAAAACAAUGGGGAGAGGAAGAUGACCUUCAAACGAGAUCUAACAGAUUAAAUGGGACUGAUGCGAAAAGUUUUUUCAGACUCCUGAAGAAUAGACACUCGCAUAUAAUUUUAGUUUCAAAUUAAAAUCCACUUGGGAGCCAUCAAAAAAAUAGCAACCAAAAACGAACACGUGAAAAUAAGAAGAAAUCAGUGUUGAAUUUGUCUUUUUUCAUAGUUCCAAGUGAAACUGAUUUUGAAUUUAUUAUUCUGUACAUGCUCUGGAACAUCUGAAGCAAGUGACACUAUAUAUAUUCAAAUACUAAAAACAUUGAUUUUGGACUGGUUUUCACAGGAUAUUCUCGUAUAUAUAGUCUAGUAAAGUUUCAAGAACACUGGUGCAAGCUCCAUAUCGGACAUGCUUGGGAUGCAAAGCAAAAGGUAACACUUUUCCCCUAAUAUAUAACCCUAGAAAAGUAAGCAGAUGGCACUGGCACGGUGGCACCCUUAACCUAAUAGUCGCCGUCGUAGAGCCUCCGGCCGACCUCGAACGACGCGAAUGCGUCGGCGCAUGCAUACUGCAGCUGCUCCCGCGUCAGCCACGGCGCGUCCCAGGCGCUGACCCGCACGUGGUACGGCUUCUCGGGCCAGACGCCCAUCACCUGCCACACGAGCCCCUGCAGCCCGGUGCGGCACAGCGCCGGCUUCCCCAGCGCGCUGGCGGCGAGGUGGCGCAGGUCCACCGUGUUGGCCACCUGCAGCCCGUAGUGGGCGCUGAGCUUCUGCGCGUCGCCGAAGACCCCGACGCCGACGAAGGUGAAGCGGGCGUCGGCGAGGAAGUGGAAGAGGGAGUCCGGGACGUAGUCGGCGCGGAAGAUCUGGAAGACGAGGCAACGGCGGCCGACGCAGAGCUGCAGCAGCGCGACGGGGCCCGGCGGGAGGCCGCGGAGCGAGGGGCGCCACUCGACGUCGAGGCCGACGACGAGGCGGUCGAGGCGGCGGCGGUGGAUGUGGUAGACGAGGCCCAGCCACUCGUCGACGACGUCGCCGGAGGAGGUCAGGGUGGUGUGGACGUGGUCCUGGCCGAACGCCACGAUGCAGUGGCCGUCGCCGAAGUCCGUCACCAUGGAAGUCGCCAUCUCGUAACUCCCGUCCCGAGGUUUCGAAGUUCGAACCGCUGUUUUGGUAUAUAUCAGAAAUCCAGAGUAGAUUUGUCCCGCUGGUAUAUCUAUCAGGUCUCCGUGUGUAUAUUUGUACCGGAACGACAGUGCGUCUGUUUUUGUUUUGUUUUUUCCUCUCUUUUUUUUUUGAGUGAAACGACGGUGCGGCUGUUUUUUUUAUGACGGAAACGUCCGUGCGUCGUUGCCAGGGUGGAUAUGCACUGAUCGCAUGACAAACGACCUCGCGGAUCACAUUGGCGGCCCACGUCGUGCUUUGUCGAUGGAAAAGCCCAAAUCCAGGGCUUUUUUGUGUGUGCGUUACAAAUCCAGGGCUUCAUUGGCACAGUACGGCGCGAAUAGUGGCUUGGAGAGCUCGUCGACGGCGUGCACCACGAACCCCGAUCAUCACAGCGCCUCCGUGCUCUCCGCAGCGCGCAUCCUCUUGGCCACCGAGCCAUCCUGCAGAUCGUCCGUCUCAGAUGCAGCAGCAUCCGUUGGUCAGCUUGUGAAACAAAUCGAUUCCCUUAAUUUAACAUAGGGGCUUCUCUUUAAUUUGUUUGUUUCCAACAUGCCCCUCGAGGACCAGCAGCAGGAGCAUAUUCUGGCAUUAUUUCGGAGCUUGGAAUUUGGGUUUCUGAGAAUUCGGGGUUUGAACUUUGAAGGGCUCCCAGACAUUAUCAUUGUUGGACAACGCUAGGGAGCGGCGCCGCACCUCCGUCUUGCCGUGCGGCGGCUCACUUAAUUACAUUCCAAUGCAAAAAAUUAACCUUCUGUUAAUCACCCAUUACAUAUCUCUCUCAUGCAUGCAUGCGUGCAAUGAUAUAAUUAUGUAUAAUGAAAACUGCUACAUGCAUGCAAUGAUGUCACCAAGAUUCCUUUUAAUUUGAAAUUUAAAAAGUUUUAUUUACAAAAUCGUUAAUUCAAUCGAUGAUCCGCUUUCACCAUUGACUUUCUCUCGACGAGUUUUUCGAAACUAGAUCCCAUGUCGACAUGUUCCGUCAACUAUUUUUUUCAUCCAUACUUGCUACAUUUUUUGACCCCACUUGCCAUAUUAUUAACCACUUACUUGCCUGAAAAAAUAACUUAAUUGACACUUUUAAUGUUUUUUCGUACAAAACCAUGUAACAGUUUUCAUUAUACAUCAUAUAAAAGCAUUGUCAUAGGUUCUGUUUGUCAAUUUAAAUAUGCAAACUUGUCAUAUUUACAUACAACUUUGCCAAAAAAAAAUAUUUUGUGUGUUUGUUAGUUUAACUAUGUCGAGUUAUCAUAUUUAUAAACGAUGAUAAAAAAAAAAUUGUGGUCACCGAUUUUAAAUAUGUUGAGUUGUCAUAUUUUUGCGCGUAAUCGCCUAAAAAUAAUUGUUUGUGCUUGCCAUUUUGAUUAUGUCUAGAUGUCAUAUUUAUACGCAGUUUUCAAAAAAAUUGGCGAUUAAGUUAUUUUUUAUCAGACAAGUAAGUACUUACUAAUAUGACAAGUAAGUACAACAAAUGUGGUAAGUACGAGCAAAAGAAAAAAUUGUCAAAACAUGUCGACAUGGGAUCUAGUUUUGAAGAUUUCAUCGAAACAAAGUCAACGGUGAAAACGAAUCAUCGAUCGAAUUAACGGUUUAAGAGAUAAAAGUUUUUGAAUUCCGAUCAUUUAAAACGAAUCUCAUGACAUCAUUGCAUGCAUGCAUGCAUGAGAAGAAAAAAUGCAAGCCGCUGCACGGAAUGUCCAUCAUGCGGCGGUUCUAAAUAGAAUUUCCCAUCAUUGUUUCCUGUCAUUUUGUUGCCCGCUAGUGCAGGUUAGAGAACUAGAAACAGAAAGCAACUUCUCUUAGAGCAUGAUUAAUAGUAUAGCCAACUGCUGGCUACAAGUCAUCUUAUAGCCCAUCUUAUAGCUAGCUUGUAUAAUAGUUAGCUAUAAAAGAGUAUUAUUUUUAUCAUAUAUGGCCCACCUUUCAUUCUCACAAAUCAUCUAGGAGCACGUGCUAGAGCUAGUUUUUUACGAAGAGCCCGCUUCUCUUCUCUUUUCUCUUCUCUCUCAUCCAACUGAGCAAAAAUAUAAUAUUUUAAUCCUUACAGGCUGCUGACCUUAUUGUACUUGCUCUUAUUCUCUUACUUCAGAUGCCACCAGGGAGAUGAAACGGUGUCUUCUGCCUUUGGGACACAAUGUAACAGGGAUGUGUGUUAGGCCACAGGUUGCAUAGGCUAUUAUCGCAUGCGCUCUGUAUAGCCAGCAUGCGAUAUAGCACCGAUCGUGGCCCAGGUUGUGGAGUAGUGGAGACUAGAGUAGUGCCUGGACCUAGGCUAGUGGAGGCAAGUAGUGGCGCAUGCAUGAUCAGCUCCUAGCUCAUCAACUUUAUAUAUACACCCAUCCUAGAGCUUAAUCAAAUGCGUUGAAUCUAAUCCUCUCUCUCUCACUAAACAUGGUGAUGGGGUCAUAGUCCUAGGGUAGGCUCAUAGGCCUGUCAUGUAGGUCCUACCCAAGGACUACCCCUCACAAAGGACAAGGCCCUUAGUGAGUUCCGACUGAAUUAAGGAGUCCCCGUCAUCCAGUCGGUAACAGGUCCUCGACCAUCCAGUCGGAGACUAGCAUUCGGAGGAUAUCAAGCUAACCGACUAGCUACCACUCGGUACAUCGUAACCUCUCUGGAGGAAAACGGUCGUACGUUUCCAGGUGCAUUUAUUAGCAUUUAGGGCAUACGUUACAGGUAACGUAUGCAUUCAAUCGCCACUACUCCACCCCUGUACCGGAACCGUUGUGGAGGGUAGCGCACUCUUUAUAAGCCACCCUCCCCCGCUGGUAGAGGGGUUGGCAACUCAUUGUAUUCCAUAUUUCCACUCGACAACAAGCUCCCUGAGCACUGAGACGUAGGGCUAUUACCUCCACCGCAGAGGGCCCUGAACUCAUACAACCUCGUCGUAGCUAAGGCUCUGCCCAUCCUUUUCGUAUCCUACACAUCUACUGUCAGGCUUAUACCCACGACAGUUGGCGCCCACCGUGACAAGUCGCUCCGAAUGUGCAUCGACUUCAAGCAUCUCAAUAAGGUCUGCCCGAAAGACCAUUUCCCGCUCCCCCGCAUAGAUCAAAUUGUCGAUUCGACUGCGGGUUGCGAGCGUCUGUCAUUUCUUGAUGCCUACUCGGGCUAUCAUCAGAUCCGUCUGUAUGGUCCCGAUGAGUUAAAAACAGCCUUCAUCACCCCAUUUGGGUGCUUCUGCUACAUCACUAUGCCAUUCGGUUUGAAGAAUGCAGGAGCUACCUUUAUGCGCAUGAUCCAAAAAUGUCUCCUCGACCAGAUCGGUCAGAAUGUGGAGGCGUAUAUGGAUGAUAUCGUAGUCAAGUCACGCAAAGGUUCCGACCUGCUGACUGACUUGGCAGAAACAUUCGCCAACCUUCGUAGGUACGAUAUCAAGCUCAACCCCGCCAAAUGUUCAUUUGGCGUUCCCAGCGGAAAGUUACUCGGUUUCUUCGUUUCCGAACGAGGGAUCGAUGUCAACCCCGAAAAGAUCGGGACCAUCGUCCGAAUGGAGAGGCCGGUCAGAAUACACGACGUUCAACGGCUCACAGGUUGCCUAGCGGCUUUGAGCAGGUUCAUCAGUCGACUCGGCGAGAAAGCGCUUCCUCUGUACCGACUCAUGAAGAAAUCAGAUACCUUCGAGUGGACAGACGAAACCCAAGUCGCAUUCGACGACCUCAAAGUCCUACUUUCCACCCAGCCGGUUCUUACUGCUCCGCUCAGUAAAGAGCCCCUUCUUCUGUAUAUCGCGGCUACAAAUCAAGUCGUCAGUACUGUUCUUACAGUCGAACGAGAAGAAGAAGGCAAAGCAUACAAAGUUCAGCGGCCAGUGUACUACGUCUCCGAGGUCCUGACUCCUUCCAAGCAGAGGUAUCCCCACUAUCAAAAACUUAUCUACAGGAUUUACAUGACUGCGAAGAAGGUGGCCCAUUAUUUCCAAGACCACUCGGUGUCUGUCGUUUCUGAUGCUCCAUUGUCGGAAAUUCUCCACAAUCGAGACGCGUCAGGCCGAGUGGCGAAGUGGGCGAUGGAGAUGUUGUACUGUCAUAUCAAGUUCGAUGCCAAGAAAGCUAUUAAGUCUCAAGCCCUGGCUGACUUCAUAGCAGAAUGGGUAGAACAACAGCAACCGACCCACAUCUACUCGGCCCAUUGGACAAUGUUCUUCGAUGGGUCCAAGAUGUUGAAUGGCUCUGGCGCUGGCGUUGUGAUCAUAUCGCCAAAGGGUGACAAGCUCAAGUACGUGCUACAAAUACACUUCGAUUCCUCCAAUAACGAGGCAGAGUAUGAAGCUCUCCUCUACGGGUUGCGUAUGGCCAUCUCAUUCGACGUCCGUCGCCUGAUGGUCUACGACGAUUCGGAUUUGAUGGUCAAUCAAGUGAUGAAAGAGUGGGACGUCAGGAACCCCACCAUGACUACAUACUGCAAUGCAGUGAGGAAGCUUGAGAAUAAGUUUGAAGGUCUAGAACUUCACCAUGUUCCGAGACUGAAGAACCAAGCAGCGGAUGAGUUGGCAAAACUCGGAUCCACUCGGAGACCAGUCCCGAGUGACGUCUGCCUCGAGCACCUCCACCUUCCCUCAGUCAAAGAAGAUCCUUUUACAGAGGAGCCGGUACAACCGAAGAGUUCAACGGAUCCGACUGAAGUCGAUGUACCUGCUGUGGUUGAUCUGGUCAUGGAGAUUCUUUCUGUCGUCCCCGAUUGGACUGUGCCGAUCAUUGCAUAUAUCCUCAGGCAGGAACUACCAGAGGACGAAGUCCAGGCCAGGCAGAUAGUCCGUAGGUCGAAGUCAUUCACUAUCAUUGAUGGCCAACUGUACAAAGAAAGUAUCUCAGGCGUUCUUCAACGAUGCAUCUCCCCAGAGGAGGGGCAGCUGAUUCUGGAGGAUAUUCACUCGGGGACCUGCGGUCAUCAUGCUUCUUCGAGAGCAAUCGUCACCAAGGCAUUCAGGGCUGGUUUCUUCUGGCUGCAGGCUAACGAGAUGGCUAAAGAUAUGGUUGACCGAUGCGAGGGCUGCUAGUUCUACUCCAACAAAUCCCACAAGCCGACUUCUGCGUUGAAGACGAUCCCUCUUGUGUGGCCGUUUGCAGUGUGGGGAUUAGAUACAGUCGGCCAUUCAAGACAGGCCAAGGUGGAUACACACAUCUGUUGGUGGCAGUCGACAAGUUCACGAAAUGGAUCGAAGCCAAGCCCAUCAAGAAGCUCGACGCCUCAACAGCCGUCAAGUUUGUCAGGGACAUCAUCUUCAGAUUCGGUGUACCUCACAGCAUAAUCACGGACAACGCGACAAACUUUGAUUCGGACAGAUUCAAAGGAUUAUGUACAAGCCAAGGUAUCUGAGUGGACUUUGCUUCCGUGGUGCACCCGCAGUCCAAUGGACAAGCAGAGCGGGCGAACGGACUUAUUUUGCAAGGUUUGAAACCCCGACUCCUGCGAGAGAUAGGACAUGCCGCUGGCGCUUGGGUUACCGAGCUACCUUUAGUGCUUUGGGGACUUCGCAGAACCCCGAACAGAUCUACAGGGCGAUCACCGUUCUUCCUCGUUUAUGGAGCAGAAGCGGUCCUUCCAAGUGACUUGCUUCACAAUGCGCCACGAGUCGAACUCUUCUCCAAAGCUGAAGCAGAACAAGCAAGGCAAGACGGAGUGGAUCUUUUAGAGGAGGAGCGCGAGAUGGCACUGACUCGCUCAACCAUUUAUCAACAAGAUCUGUGGCGUUUUCACGUGCGACACGUCAGGAGUCGUACGUUCCAAGCAGGCGACCUGGUGCUCCGAGUAGAUCAGCAAAGACCUCACAAGUUGGCUCCUGCCUAGGAAGGACCCUUCAUCAUCUCCAAGGUGCUGAACAAUGGGGCAUACAGACUCUACAACGUCGACAGGGAGACAGACGAGCCGCGAGCAUGGAACGGAGAUCUCCUGAAGCGCUUCUACACGUGACCAUCGACUGAAGCAAUGUAAAGAACAAGUAUUGGUGAAAUAAUAUAAAGCAGGUUGAGUUUUUUGCAGGUUCAAAGUUCUUUCGCGGUCGCAGACUCCGGUCUCAAAAAAAAAAACUUAGCUGCGAUCCAGAAUCGCCUAAGUAUUAACCUUCUCCGAGUGUGCACUUCACGUCACACUCGGGGGCUUAGCUGCGAUCCAGAAUCACCUAAGUAUUAACCUUCUCCGAGUGUGCACUUCACGUCACACUCGGGGGACUUAGCUGCGAUCCAGAAUCGCCUAAGUAUUAACCUUCUCCGAGUGUGCACUUCACGUCACACUCGGAGGCUUAGCUGCGAUCCAGAAUCGUCUAAGUAUUAACUUUCUCCGAGUGUGCACUUAACGUCACACUCGGGGGACUUAGCUGCGAUCCAGAAUCGCCUAAGUAUUAACUUUCUCCGAGUGUGCACUUAACGUCACACUCGGGGACUUAGCUCCGAUCCAGAAUCGCCUAAGUAUUAACCUUCUCCGAGUGUACACUUAACGUCACACUGGGGACUUAGAGAAUUCCACGGACCCUCAAUGAGGCUCAUGCAGAUGUCAAAACAACUGACAUGUUCCGAAUGUUUGCCUUUGGCUUCACCAAGAAACGCCAAACAAAAACUCGAGUCAACAUUGCAACAGAAGAGCAAAAGAUUCGAUUCAAACUUCAACCAAAGAUAGUGGCUCGGUGUGGAUCAAGCUUACCCACACCGACACAAGAAUGUGACGGCCAACAGCAGUGGCCAAAGUUUCUUACAGAUAAACACUCGGAGGAUAAAAGUGUUCUUACGCAUCAUCUGGAUUAACACCAGGACUGGAGGGCUCUACGAACGUGUCCAGAUCAAUACCGUCAGCGAUGCGGGUGGCACUUUCAAGGAAGGUUUCCAUGAAGUCUUCGAAUCGAAGUUUCUUCGUGUUGGCGACCUUCAACGUCUUCAGUUUCUCCUCGCGCACCUCCUUGCAAUGGACUCGGACCAGGGACAGAGCAACAUCUGCACCACAACGAGCUGCAGAUUUCUUCCACGACUGCACUCGGUUCGGAAUCUCCUCCAGUCGGGUCAUCAGGUUCUCCAUCUCCUGCCGCGACUCAUAUUCUGGCCAAAGCUCCUUGUCGAUUCGGCCGACGACUUCUCUCAGUCGACCGAUGAAAGGACCAACUUUGCCCACGCGGAUGUGCGCACGGAGCAGAUCCUGAUUGGCGUCCUCGCCGAGUGGAACGUUCUCGAGAAUCGACCCCUCCACAUCAGCUGCUUCAGCUUCAGCGUCAAAGCAAAAGUCUGCGACAACAGGACAAGCAGACAAUAAGCGCCGAGUGUGACGCGCAUAACACAACCACUCGGAAAGAGCAGGACUUACCAGCCAGACGCGUCAUCAUCUGCCGAGCCCAGUCGCUGACGUAUUUCUCCUGUGCUCUGCACCGUUUGUUCAGCACGUCCAUUUGUCCCAUCAGAGCAGUCCUUUGUUUCCCCAUCUUUUCAACUUCCUCAGUCAACACCCUGUUCGCUUCGCGAGCCUACUCCAAUGACUUCUCUCGUCCCGCCAGAGCAUCCUUCAUGCCAGCCAUUGCAAGCAGCGCCGCAUCAAGCUCACCAGCUAACUGAUUCUUCUCCGCCCUGAGAGUCUCAUAGGUUGUUCCCAUUUCACAAGUUUUCUGCCAGCAAACACCAAGAGACAAUCAGAAAAUUAACAAUAAAAGUCUAAGUUCUUCAGACCCCUGCCGACGCAAGCAGUCGACAGCGGUCUCGGGGACUACACCCAGUGGGUUCACUAAGAGUGACCCCACUGGCACGCAACUCAAGCAGGCCCGCCCUAUUGAGAUGCAUGUUACCACCUACGCCUAUGAGGCCAAGACUACCCGACCUGAGUACAAAUUACUCUCGGGGACUCUUACAGUAAGUGCACUCCGAGUGCCACAACUGCUCACAGUCGGACAUAUUAUUUACAGAUCCGAUCAAAGCAAAGACAAUAUGUAUAAAGACAACUACCGGUGCAAGCACUCGACAGAAGUCUCGGGGACUACACCCACUGGGUUCACUCAGAGUGAACCCAUUGCAAACAACAGAUACUAUCCAAAAACACCGAGUGGGUUACAAGAGAAAAGUAAAUACUUACUAGCCCACUUACUCGGAUAUCAUUCCGCAGCUCCAAGCUCCGCUGAUACAAGGAUGCGACGGAGUCGUAGGCCCUCUUGGCUUCUCCAGCCAUCAGCUCCGCCUGCACCAUGGCUCCCUUGGCCGGUCCCACCUGCUCCUCCGGGAGACGCUGGAUGUUGAACUCGACAUUCGACGAGCCUGGCAUCGUCGAAAGUUCCUGAGGCAUCCCAAGGUCCGCUCCGGUCGACUCUUCAACCACCAGUGCCAGUUCAGUCGGCGGCAGCGCCUCAGUCGGCAGCACGUCGGCAGCGAGAGUAGCAACAGGCGGAGCAGCCUCAAGAACAGGCUUUGCAGCUUGUUCAGCUCUCCCCUGAUCACCCUCGUCCACGCAAAUCGCCCCUGAUAGACCGAACGACGCGAGAUCUCAGAAAAAGAAAGAGGCAGAACCUAUGAUAGAAUUCGAGACGCGGUAGAAUAAAACACUCGAAGUCACUACAACGCACCUGGCUGGGACGAGAUGACGUUGUCCGUGUCCAUGGGGUCAUCCUCCUGGCACGCCGGAGAGGUGGCAUAAGUAGCGACUCUGUCGAGUGAAAUCCAUUCGACCAAUGAACAGGAAUUCACUCGGAUAUCAGAAGAAAUUAGAAGAUCGAUACACUUACGUGGAGGUGACGGGGACAGCAACCCUCAUCCGCGGCAGAGCCUUCUGAGGUUUGGACCCACUCGGUUUGGCCGCCUUGGAAGACUGACCCGCAGGUUCAGCAGCAGCAUCCCUGGCCCUCUUGGUGCUCCGAGCACUCGGGACCACCGGGGCAGUGGGCGGAGCACUCGAAGAUGCUAGAGGGACCGAGGGAACGGCAGGCUCGUGUCGGUGCUUGGUCCGAUGCUCUGUUUGCGGAGGCGGCGAGUCCUGCUCUUCGCCUUCCUCCUCUUCCUCGCUAGUCUCUUCCUCCAACUCCCCGCUGUCGGAGACAUACUCAGCGCUCUCCACGCUGCCUUCCUGGCUGCCUUCCUCCUCCUCGGCCGGGUUCCCGUUCGAGACGGGAGAAAACCAGUUGCUCCACUCCUGCAUAAAAUUCAGUCGGCGACAUCAGACGUCACACAGAGAUUCAAGCAAACAAUAAGAUUAAGACAGUUAGGAGCACUCGACAAGUGCCACUUACCUGAUUCGGAGGAGGAUUAUCCGCGCAGAAAGGCUUCACUCGCCGAGAUCCUUUGGGAUUCUCGCAGGGGCCUGUGAUCUGGAGCACCCACGAGGUCACCUUCUCCUCAGUCACGCCCACAACGUUGGUCCGAGUGGAAUCCUCGGGCCCCGUAUAAUGCCACAUGGCGUGGUCGCGAGCCUGCAGGGGUUGGAUACGCCGACCGAGGAAGACCUCCAGCAAGUCUAUGCCAGUGACCCCCCUCCUGACGACAUCUACAAGCGCUCCGACCAGAGGCUGGAUGUCAUUCUUCUCCGCCCUCGUGAGCACGAGCUGCUUAGGUGGGGCUGGCCGAUCUAAGCUAAAGGGAGGCAGCCCUGUCGAAGCAUUCGGACAGGCGAUAUCCUGGCAGUAGAACCACGUCGACUGCCAGUUCCUGACCGACUCACUUAACUGGAGGGCAGGAUAACUGCUCCGACUCUUUUUCUGGAAACCUAAGCCCCCGCAGAGCUGGAGAAGAUGUGUUUUAUCAUCCGACUGGCUGAGUCGUUUGAUGGUUUGAGAUCUAGCAGAAAAAUAUGUGCUUGAACAGCCCCCAAUGGGGAGGACAGCCAAUGAAACACUCGCACAGAACUAUAAAAGCAGAGAGAUGGGCAAUGGCAUUCGGGGGAAAGUGGUCAAGUUGUGCCCCGAAGUGAUUCAUGAUGCCCUUGAAGAAAGGAUGCGGGGGCAAGGAGAAACCUCGAUAGACGUGGCUGAGCAACAAGACGAGCUCCCCCGUCCCGGGGCGCCGGCUCGACCUCGUUCUCCGCCGGCAGCCUCUAAGACUUGUGCACGAUCAUCCCGUGCUCAACCAGCUGCAGCAGAUCCCCCUCCGUCACCGUGGAGGGGAGGAAGUCGCCUUGAAUCCACCCCGCCGGCAGCGUCCGCUGCCGCCGCUGAGCAGGAGCCGCCCCCUUCCCCUUCUUCUUCCUCGCCUCCAUCUUGCUGGUCUGACCCUUGGUCAUGGCGGAAACUGCGAACCCGCGGGAGGAAGGAGGAGGGAGGAGUGUAGAGGCGCUGGAGGUGGUGAGAGAGACGGAGCAGGCAAAGGCAAGAGAUUCGGCGAGCGUAACGAAGAACCCUCGUCGCCGAGAUUUAAGUAGGGUUCCGACUGGGUCGCUGGCAGGUAGGCCCGAAACCUUAUCCCCCGACCCACCGUGGCGAUAUUAGUGGAGAGGUUGAAGGCGCGAGAAUCGAGGCGUCAGGCGCUACUCGAGCGCGAUGGCGUCAUCCCCGCUGAGCGUGCGGAACCCGAAAUUUGAGAUCCCGGAAAAUCCGCCGCUGUCAGUUGACCGGUCGCGUCAAAAGAUGCCGCAGAAGCACUCGGCUUCCGACAGUCUGUUUCGCGAGUACUUCCACUCGGAUCGUUGGUCAGAAAAGAUAAAAUGGAUCGAGGCAAGCAACGCCCAAGCCAAAUCUGUUCUAGUCGGAUCCAAACUUCAAGCACCGCUUCAUCGUUUCAACCCCAAUCCAUUCGGGGACUAAUGAUGGGGUCAUAGUCCUAGGGUAGGGUCAUAGUCCUAGGGUAGGGUCAUAGGCCUGUCAUGUAGGUGUUGGGCAACGUCGCAUGGGAAACAAAAAAUUUCCUACGCGCACGAAGACCUAUCAUGGUGAUGUCCAUCUACGAGAGGGGAUGAGUGAUCUACGUACCCUUGUAGACCGUACAGCAGAAGCGUUAGUGAACGCGGUUGAUGUAGUGGAACGUCCUCACGUCCCUUGAUCCGCCCCGCGAACUAUCCCGCGAUCAGUCCCACGAUCUAGUGUCGAACGGACGGCACCUCCGCGUUCAGCACACGUACAGCUCGACGAUGAUCUCGGCCUUCUUGAUCCAGCAAGAGAGACGGAGAGGUAGAAGAGUUCUCCGGCAGCGUGACGGCGCUCCGGAGGUUGGUGAUGAUCUCGUCUCAGCAGGGCUCCGCCCAAGCUCCGCAGAAACGCGAUCUAGAGAAAAAACCGUGGAGGUAUGUGGUCGGGCUGCCCUGGAAAAGUCGUCUCAAAUCAGCCCUAAAACCUCCGUAUAUAUAGGUGGGAGAGGGGGGACCUUGCCUUGGGGCUCAAGGAGCCCCAAGGGGGUCGGCCGAGCCAAAGGGGGGAAGGUCUCCCCCCCCCCAAACCGAGUCCUACUUGGUUUGGUGGGUGGAGUCCUUCUUUCCUUUCCCACCUCCUCCUUUUUUUUCUUUUCUCUUUGAUUUUUCUUCCAAUGCGCAUAGGGCCCUUUUGGGCUGUCCCACCAGCCCACUAAGGGCUGGUGCGCCACCCUCAAGGCCUAYGGGCUUCCCCGGGGUGGGUUGCCCCCCCCCCCCGGUCGAACUCCCGGAACCCAUUCGUCAUUCCCGGUAACUCCGAAAACCUUCCGGUAAUCAAAUGAGGUCAUCCUAUAUAUCAAUCUUCGUUUCCGGACCAUUCCGGAAACCCUCGUGACGUCCGUGAUCUCAUCUGGGACUCCGAACAACAUUCGGUAACCAACCAUAUAACUCAAAUACGCAUAAAACAACGUCGAACCUUAAGUGUGCAGACCCUGCGGGUUCGAGAACUAUGUAGACAUGACCCGAGAGACUCCUCGGUCAAUAUCCAAUAGCGGGACCUGGAUGCCCAUAUUGGAUCCUACAUAUUCUACGAAGAUCUUAUUGUUUGAACCUCAGUGCCAAGGAUUCAUAUAAUCCCGUAUGUCAUUCCCUUUGUCCUUCGGUAUGUUACUUGCCCGAGAUUCGAUCGUCAGUAUCCGCAUACCUAUUUCAAUCUCGUUUACUGGCAAGUAUCUUUACUCGUUCCGUAAUACAAGAUCCCGCAACUUACACUAAGUUACAUUGCUUGCAAGGCUUGUGUGUGAUGUUGUAUUACCGAGUGGGCCCCGAGAUACCUCUCCGUCAAACGGAGUGACAAAUCCCAGUCUUGAUCCAUACUAACUCAACGAACACCUUCGAAGAUACCUGUAGAGCAUCUUUAUAGUCUCCCAGUUACGUUGCGACGUUUGAUACACACAAAGUAUUCCUCCGGUGUUAGUGAGUUAUAUGAUCUCAUGGUCAUAGGAACAAAUACUUGACACGCAGAAAACAGUAGCAACAAAAUGACACGAUCAACAUGCUACGUCUAUUAGUUUGAGUCUAGUCCAUCACGUGAUUCUCCUAAUGACGUGAUCCAGUUAUCAAGCAACAACACCUUGUUCAUAAUCAGAAGACACUGACUAUCUUUGAUCAACUGGCUAGCCAACUAGAGGCUUGCUAGGGACAGUGUUUUGUCUAUGUAUCCACACAUGUAAAUGAGUCUUCAUUCAAUACAAUUAUAGCAUGGAUAAUAAACGAUUAUCUUGAUACAGGAAUUAUAAUAAUAACUAUAUUUAUUAUUUCCUCUAGGGCAUAAUUCCAACAGUCUCCCACUUGCACUAGAGUCAAUAAUCUAGCCCUCACAUCAUCAUGCGAAUUACAUUGUAAUAAAUCUAACACCCAUACAGUUCUGGUGUUGAUCAUGCUUUGGUCGUGGAAGAGGUUUAGUCAGCGGGUCUGCUACAUUCAGAUCCGUGUGCACUUUGCAUAUAUUUACGUCCUCUCCUUCGACGUAGUCGCGGAUGAGGUUGAAGCGUCGUUUGAUGUGUCUGGACUUCUUAUGAAACCGUGGUUCCUUUGCUAAGGCAAUGGCACCCGUGUUGUCAUAGAACAAGGUUAUUAGAUUCAGUGCGCUUGGCACCACUCCAAGAUCCGUCAUGAACUGCUUCAUCCAGACACCCUCCUUAGCCGCCUCCGAGGCAGCCAUGUACUCCGCUUCACAUGUAGAAUCUGCUACGACGCUUUGCUUGGAACUGCACCAGCUUACCGCACCCCCAUUAAGAAUAAAUACGUAUCCGGUUUGCGACUUAGAGUCGUCCGGAUCUGUGUCAAAGCUUGCAUCGACGUAACCUUUUACGGCGAGCUCUUCGUCACCUCCAUACACGAGAAACAUUUCCUUAGUCCUUUUCAGGUACUUCAGGAUAUUCUUGACCGUUGUCCAGUGAUCCACUCCUGGAUUACUCUGGAACCUACCUGCCAUACUUAUGGCCAGGCUAACGUCCGGUCUAGUGCAUAGCAUUGCAUACAUGAUAGAACCUAUGGCUGAAGCAUAGGGGACGGAGCGCAUAUGCUCUCUAUCUUCAUCAGUUGCUGGGCACUGAGUCUUACUCAAUCUCGUACCUUGUAAAACUGGCAAGAACCCCUUCUUGGACUGUUCCAUUUUGAACCUCUUCAAAACUUUAUCAAGGUAUGUGCUUUCUGAAAGUCCUAUCAGGCAUUUUGAUCUAUCCCUAUAGAUCUUAAUGCCUAGAAUGUAAGCAGCUUCUCCUAGGUCCUUCAUAGAGAAACUUUUAUUCAAGUAAUCCUUUAUGCUCUCCAAAAACUCUAUGUUGUUUCCAAUCAGCAAUAUGUCAUCCACAUAUAAUAUUAGAAACGCCACAGAGCUCCCACUCACUUUCUUGUAAAUACAAGAUUCUCCAACCACUUGUAUAAACCCAAAUGCUUUGAUCACCUCAUCAAAGCGUUUGUUCCAACUCCGAGAUGCUUGCACCAGUCCAUAAAUGGAUCGUUGGAGCUUGCACACCUUGUUAGCAUUCUUAGGAUCGACAAAACCUUCGGGUUGCAUCAUAUACAAUUCUUCCUUAAGGAAACCGUUAAGGAACGCCGUUUUGACAUCCAUCUGCCAGAUUUCAUAAUCGAAAAAUGCAGCUAUUGCUAACAUGAUUCUGACGGACUUAAGCAUCGCUACGGGUGAGAAUGUCUCAUCGUAGUCAACUCCUUGAACUUGUGAAAAACCCUUUGCCACAAGUCGAGCUUUAUAAACGGUCACAUUGCCGUCAGCGUCCGUCUUCCUCUUAAAGAUCCAUUUGUUCCGAAUAGCCUUGCGGCCCUCAGGCAGUACCUCCAAAGUCCACACUUUGUUCUCAUACAUGGAUCCUAUCUCGGACUUCAAGGCUUCUAGCCAUUUGUUGGAAUCUGGGCCCACCAUUGCUUCUUCAUAAUUUGCAGGUUCAUUGUUGUCCAACAACAUGAUUGAUAAGACGGGAUUACCGUACCACUCUGGAGCAGCACGUGGUCUCGUCGACUGCGUGGUUCGACAGAAACUUGAAUCGGAGUUUCAUGAUCAUCAUCAUUAACUUCCUCCUCAACCGGCGUCGCAACGACAGAGGUUUCCCCUUGCCCUGCGCCACCAUCCAGAGGGAUGAGAGGUUCGACAACCUCGUCAAGUUCUAUCUUCCUCCCACUCAAUUCUCUCGAGAGAAACUCCUUCUCGAGAAAAGCUCCGUUUUUAGCAACAAACACUUUGCCCUCGGAUUUGAGAUAGAAGGUGUACCCAACUGUCCCUUUUGGGUAACCUAUGAAGAUGCACUUUUCCGCUUUGGGUUCCAGCUUUUCAGGCGGAAGCUUUUUGACAUAAGCAUCCCAUCCCCAAACUUUAAGAAACGACAACUUUGGCCUUUUGCCAUACCACAGUUCGUAUGGUGUCGUCUCAACGGAUUUUGAUGGUGCCCUAUUUAAAGUGAAUGCAGCUGUUUCUAAUGCAUAACCCCAAAACGAUAACGGCAAAUCGGUAAGAGACAUCAUAGAUCGCACCAUCUCUAAUAAAGUACGAUUACGACGUUCGGACACACCAUUACGCUGUGGUGUUCCAGGCGGUGUCAACUGUGAAACAAUUCCACAUUGUCUUAAGUGAGCACCAAACUCGAAACUCAGAUAUUCACCCCCACGAUCAGACCGUAGAAACUUGAUCUUCUUGUUACGAUGAUUUUCAACUUCACUCUGAAAUUGCUUGAACUUUUCAAAUGUUUCAGACUUGUGCUUCAUUAAGUAGACAUAACCAUAUCUACUCAAAUCGUCAGUGAAGGUGAGAAAAUAACGAUAUCUGCCGCGUGCCUCUACGCUCAUCGGACCACACACAUCGGUAUGUACGAUUUCCAACAAGUCACUUGCACGCUCCAUUGUUCCGGAGAACGGAGUUUUAGUCAUCUUGCCCAUGAGGCAUGGUUCGCACGUGUCAAGUGAAUCAAAGUCAAGUGACUCUAAAAGUCCAUCGGCAUGGAGUUUCUUCAUGCGCUUUACACCAAUAUGACCUAAGCGGCAGUGCCACAAAAAUAUGGCGCUAUCAUUGUUAACUCUAACGCUUUUGGUCUCAAUGUUAUGUAUGUGUGUAUCGCUAUCAAGAUUCAAUAUGAACAAUCCUCUCACAUUGGGUGCAUGACCAUAAAAGAUGUUACUCAUAGAAAUAGAACAACCAUUAUUCUCUGACUUAAAAGAGUAACCGUCUCGCAAUAAACAAGAUCCAGAUAUAAUGUUCAUGCUCAACGCAGGCACUAAAUAACAAUGAUUCAAGUUCAUAACUAAUCCUGAUGGUAACUGAAGUGAAACUGUGCCGACGGCGAUUGCAUCAACCUUGGAACCAUUUCCUACGCGCAUCGUCACUUCAUCUUUCGCCAGCCUUCGUCUAUUCCGCAGUUCCUGUUUCGAGUUGCAAAUAUGAGCAACAGAACCGGUAUCGAAUACCCAGGCACUACUACGAGAGCCGGUUAAGUACACAUCAAUAACAUGUAUAUCAAAUAUACCUGAUUUUUCUUUGGCCGCCUUCUUAUCUGCCAGAUACUUGGGGCAAUUGCGCUUCCAGUGACCCAUACCCUUGCAAUAGUAACACUCUGUUUCAGGCUUAGGUCCAGCUUUGGGUUUCUUCGUUGGAUUGGCAACAGGCUUGCCGCUCUUCUUUGAAUUACCCUUCUUUCCUUUGCCGUUUCUCUUGAAACUAGUGGUCUUAUUCACCAUCAACACUUGAUGCUCUUUACGGAGUUCAGACUCUGCGACUUUCAGCAUCGCAAACAACUCGCCGGGUGACUUGUUCAUCCCUUGCAUGUUGUAGUUCAACACAAUGCCUUUAUAGCUUGGCGGCAGUGAUUGAAGGAUUUUGUCAGUGAUAGCCUCUUGCGGGAGUUCAAUCCCCAGCUCAGCUAGACGGUUUGAGUACCCAGACAUUUUGAGCACAUGUUCACUGACAGACGAGUUCUCCUCCAUCUUGCAAGCAUAGAAUUUAUCGGAGGUCUCAUACCUCUCGAUCCGGGCGUUCUUCUGAAAGAUAAACUUCAACUCCUGGAACAUCUCAAAUGCUCCAUGAUGCUCAAAGCGACGUUGAAGUCCCGGUUCUAAGCCAUACAAGACUGCACAUUGAACUACUGAGUAGUCCUCCUUACGUGCUAACCAAGCGUUCUUAACAUCCUGAUCAGCCGUAGCGGGUGGUUCAUCUCCUAGCGCAGCAUUAAGGACAUAAUCCUUCUUCCCAGCUUGUAAGAUUAGCUUAAGAUUACGAGCCCAGUCUACAAAGUUGCUUCCAUCAUCUUUCAACUUAGCUUUCUCUAGGAACGUAUUAAAAUUCAGGAUGACUAUCGCGUGAGCCAUGAUCUACAACACAAAUAUAUUCAAAGUGGACUUAGACUAUGUUCAAGAUAAUUAGAGUUCAACUUAAUCAAAUUAUAUGCUAAACUCCCACUCAAAAAGUACAUCUCUCUAGUCAUUUGAGUGGUUCAUGAUCCACUUACACUAUCCCAAGUCCGAUCAUCACGUGAGUUGAGUAUAGUUUCAGUGGUAAGCAUCCCUAUGCUAAUCAUAUCAACUAUAUGAUUCAUGAUCGACCUUUCGGUCUCAUGUGUUCCGAGGCCAUGUCUGCACAUGCCAGGCUCGUCAAGCUUAACCCGAGUGUUCCGCGUGCGCAACUGUUUUGCACCCGUUGUAUGUGAACUUUGAGUCUAUCACACCCGAUCAUCACGUGGUGUCUCGAAACGACGAACUGUAGCAACGGUGCACAGUCGGGGAGAACACAAUUUCGUCUUGAAAUUUUUUAGUGAGAGAUCACCUCAUAAUGCUACCGUCGUUCUAAGCAAAAUAAGGUGCAUAAAAGGAUUAACAUCACAUGCAAUUCAUAAGUGACAUGAUAUGGCCAUCAUCACGUGCUUCUUGAUCUCCAUCACCAAAGUACCGGCACGAUCUUCUUGUCACCGGCGCCACACCAUGAUCAUCCAUCAACGUGUUGCCAUCGGGGUUGUCGUGCUACUUAUGCUAUUACUACUAAAGCUACAUCCUAGAAAAAUAGUAAACGCAUCUGCAAGCACAAACGUUAGUAUAAAGACAACCAUAUGGCUCCUGCCGGUUGUCGUACCAUCGACGUGCAAGUCGAUAUUUCUAUUACAACAUGAUCAUCUCAUACAUCCAACAUAUCACAUCACAUCGUUGGCCAUAUCACAUCACAAUCACACCCUGCAAAAACAAGUUAGACGUCCUCUAAUUUUGUUGUUGCAUGUUUUACGUGGUGACCAAGGGUAUCUAGUAGGAUCGCAUCUUACUUACGCUAACACCACAACGGAGAUAUAUGAGUUGCUAUUUAACCUCAUCCAAGGACCUCCUCGGUCAAAUCCGAUUCAACUAAAGUUGGAGAAACCGUCACUUGCCAGUCAUCUUUGAGCAAAGGGGGUUACUCGUAACGAUGAAACCAGUCUCUCGUAAGCGUACGAGUAAUGUCGGUCCAAGCCGCUUCAAUCCAACAAUACCGCGGAAUCAAGAAAAGACUAAGGAGGGCAGCAAAACGCACAUCACCGCCCACAAAAACUUUUGUGUCUUACUCGAGAAGACAUCUACGCAUGAACCUAGCUCAUGAUGCCACUGUUGGGGAACGUCGCAUGGGAAACAAAAUUUUCCUACGUGCACGAAGACCUAUCAUGGUGAUGUCCAUCUACGAGAGGGGAUGAGUGAUCUACGUACCCUUGUAGAUCGUACAGCAGAAGCGUUAGAGAACGCGGUUGAUGUAGUGGAACGUCCUCACGUCCCUCGAUCCGCCCCGCGAACAAUCCCGCGAUCAGUCCCACGAUCUAGUACCGAACGGACGGCACCUCCGCGUUCAGCACACGUACAGCUCGACGAUGAUCUCGGCCUUCUUGAUCCAGCAAGAGAGACGGAGAGGUAGAAGAGUUCUCCGGCAGCGUGACGGCGCUCCGGAGGUUGGUGAUGACCUUGUCUCAGCAGGGCCCCGCCCGAGCUCCGCAGAAACGCGAUCUAGAGGAAAAACCGUGGAGGUAUGUGGUCGGGCUGCCGUGGCAAAAGUUGUCUCAAAUCAGCCCUAAAACCUCCGUAUAUAUAGGUGGGAGGGAGGGGGGCCUUUCCUUGGGGUCCAAGGACCCUCAAGGAGUCGGCCGAGCCAAGGGGGAGGACUCCUCCCCCCCCCCAAACCGAGUUGGACUAGGUUUGGUGGGAGGGAGUCCCCUCCCUUCCCACCUCCUCCCUUUUUUUUUUCUUUUUCCUUUGAUUUCUUAUCCUUGGCGCAUAGGCCCCUUUUGGGCUGUCCCACCAGUCCCACUAAGGGCUGGUGCGCCACCCUAAUGGCCUAUGGGCUUCCCCGGGUUGGGUUGCCCCCCCCUGUGAACUCCCAGAACCCAUUCGUCAUUCCCGGUACAUUCCCGGUAACUCCGAAAACCUUCCGGUAAUCAAAUGAGGUCAUCCUAUAUAUCAAUCUUCGUUUCCGGACCAUUUCGGAAACCCUCAUGACGUCCGUGAUCUCAUCCGGGACUCCGAACAACAUUCGGUAACCAACCAUAUAACUCAAAUACGCAUAAAACAACGUCGAACCUUAAGUGUGCAGACCCUGCGGGUUCGAGAACUAUGUAGACAUGACCCGAGAGACUCCUCGGUCAAUAUCCAAUAGCGGGACCUGGAUGCCCAUAUUGGAUCCUACAUAUCCUACGAAGAUCUUAUCGUUUGAACCUCAGUGCCAAGGAUUCGUAUAAUCCCGUAUGUCAUUCCCUUUGUCCUUCGGUAUGUUACUUGCCCCGAGAUUCGAUCGUCAGUAUCCGCAUACCUAUUUCAAUCUCGUUUACCGGCGAGUCUCUUUACUCGUUCCGUAAUACAAGAUCCCGCAACUUACACUAAGUUACAUUGCUUGCAAGGCUUGUGUGUGAUGUUGUAUUACCGAGUGGGCCCCGAGAUACCUCUCCGUCACACGGAGUGACAAAUCCCAGUCUUGAUCCAUAGUAACUCAACUAACACCUUCGGAGAUACCUGUAGAGCAUCUUUAUAGUCACGCAGUUACGUUGCGACGUUUGAUACACACAAAGCAUUCCUCCGGUGUCAGUGAGUUAUAUGAUCUCAUGGUCAUAGGAAUAAAUACUUGACACGCAGAAAACAGUAGCAACAAAAUGACACGAUCAACAUGCUACGUCUAUUAGUUUGGGUCUAGUCCAUCACGUGAUUCUCCCAAUGACGUGAUCCAGUUAUCAAGCAAUAACACCUUGUUCAUAAUCAGAAGACACUGACUAUCAUUGAUCAACUGGCUAGCCAACUAGAGGCAUGCUAGGGACGGUGUUUUGUCUAUGUAUCCACACAUGUAAAUGAGUCUUCAUUCAAUACAAUUAUAGCAUGGAUAAUAAACUAUCAUCUUGAUACAGGAAUUAUAAUAAUAACUAUACAUUUAUUAUUGCCUCUAGGGCAUAAUUCCAACAUUUAGAACAUAACAAGCUAUCAAAAAUGAAUAAAGAAAUAAAUAGAUGAAUGCAAACACCAUUCAAUCGCCAAAUGAUGAAUAAGGUUUUGCUCUAACGGAGUGCAACCCAUCGGAGAUGAGUGUAUCACUAUAACAAAGGAACUAUGAACAAAUGGGAAGCCAAGCGGGUAAAUGAGAGGGGCAUUCACUCUAGCAUAGAUAUCAAGUCAGCUAAGUUUCUCCACAUAGGAGAAUCUUUGCUAGGAUAACAUCAACAAUGAGUCGAGGGGGACGCCAAUGGCUCUACGUACCAUGGGUACAUAUAAAGUGCCGCCAUGGGAUCCGAUGGUGACCCCCGUGGACAAUGUGGAAAUACCCAAAUGGUUGCGCAACAAUGGUUCUACUCCUCCUCUCCUCGGGGACAAACAAUGUGAUCCAACCUCUCAAACCACUUUUUGAGAGUGAUCUAAAAUGCUAGGGCACUUCAUUCUGUCAUGUACACAUUACACAGGGUACCAUGAAGAUGAAGUUGAAGGAAGUGUAGCAACCGGGAAUUCACCCUAUGAAUGGUGGGGACCGUCUGGGUCUCCAAGUUGUUUGCCCCGAGUCUAAGACUUAAUUAUGACCUCCACGUCGAAUGCUAGAUGGGAUAGUAGAACCCCUUAUGUGCCAACUCGAUGGACUCCCAGUUUAUUGAUUCCGGCCAUCAAUGAUUAUCAAGGGGUUACAUCGGGUAAUCCAUGACAUAAAAACGAUGAUGAUACAUUUUAUUCAUCAAAAUGAUGUUCCAAUAUUCAUAACAUGCUAAAAUAUGUAUUACAUAGUGAUUAGAAGUAAGCAAAAAUUAAUCUACAUCAGUAAAAACAUACUCCCUCCGUUUCUAAAUAUAAGUCUUUUUAGAUAUUUCACUAGGAGACUACAUACGAAGCAAAAUGAGUGAAUCUAUACCUUAAAGUAUGUCUAUAUACAUCCGUAUGUAGUCUCCUAGUGAAACCUCUUAAAAGACUUAUAUUUAGGAACGGAGGGAGUAUAAUAGAAGCAUGUAUAUUAAGAUAGCAUGUUAAGCGCGUCCUAGACGUGAAUAAUUGGCCCUAAAAUCGAAUUCCCGCGGCUCUUUUAUGCCAAUAAAAAAAUGCAUUUUAGCUAAGAGAGCUAUUAUGCAAAAUGUGCAUGACCAUCCGCCCCGACAGCAGGCCGAACAUGGUAUGUCAGCCCACUUAAAAUACCACACCGCCAUCGCCUUUUUUAGAUGCAGCUACCAAAAUGGCCUUGUCCACUCGGGGCCAUUGGACCGGCCUGCUCACUGCACUUCCCAUUAGGAGGGCUGCGCUAGGGUUUCCCCUCCUUGAUGAUUGGCUCAAGGCGUUUAAUGGUGGAGAUGACCACAGAAAGGUCAUCACCUCCUUGAUGAUGCAUGUCUCAUGAAAAAUUAGGAAGGAGCGAAACACAAAUUUUUUUGAAAGGUCUUCACCGCGACCUUCAUUGUUAUCGCAAAAAUAAAAGAGGAGGCUCAUCUUUAAAUUUUGGCAGGAACCAAGCAGCAGAUCACACGUCCAAAACAUACUUUUCUCACAGAGGCUCUCUCACGCCGCUCCCAUGGGCGGCUCGGGAGAGCAAAAUCCAGCCCGCCGUCGGGAGGCCACCCACCGCGGCUGCUCCCCUUGCCGUCGCUAGUGUGUUCAGCAGGGCAAAGCCUGUGCAGUAUAGGCGGCGGCGGGGCCGUCGAUCACUUACGCACAGGCUCAAGUGGCGCGCGGGUGUCCCGAUUUGGUGGGGGCUGGAGCUCAGCGAGGUGAGGUGUGUGGAGGAGUGCGAGUGGGGCGCGCUCGCGACGUGCUUGCGCCAUGGCGCGCUACAGGUGCGGGGCUGUGCGGAUCUCGCUUGGGCAGGUGGGGAUGGCUCGGGGCUGCGCGGAUCUGGCACAGUCGCCGGUGCGCGAGGCGAGCGGAGGUGUGGGGUUGCACGGACGACCGGCUGCUGCAGUGUGCAUCCUUCGUUCCGGUGUGGCGGAUCCGGCUAGCAUGUUGGGGCUUGUUUUGGGGAGGCGACGACGCGCGGUUGCGCACAGGCCGGCCAGAUCUGGGCAUGUCCAAGCCGGAAGCUGGUUGCGGCGCGUUGUGGGAGAGGUUCGAGGAUGCGGCUGCUGUAGUUGUGUGCGGGUCGGCCAUGACCUGUACUUGCCGGAUGGUGGUGGUGCUCGGUUGCUGCUUGACGGAGGAGGGAGGCUCCAUCCGCGGUUGGAUGCAGGGUGCAGGACCCGAUAUGGUCUCUGCAGGCCCGUCGUCGAGGAGGAAGGCUGGUGGUCCUGCACAGUGGUGGUGUGCUCGCCGGAUGGGGGAUAUGCGUGGUCCAGUGGAGGUACGGGUCGACCUCGGCCUACUGCAUGUGAGUGGGUGCACCGGGUGAAAGCCUGGCCGAUGCUGGCCGGCCGCCGGCUCCCGCGGGCUUCGCUAUUCUCCUUGGAGGCGUCGUUUGGAUUCUUCACAGCUUAUGCUCAUGGAUCAUGUUCUUCGGGUGAAAGCCCACAUCCCGAUGCAGGGUCGGGCGAUGGCGUCGUCUUCAGCGUCGUUCCCCUAUUACGGCGUCGUCUUGAAGCUCUUGAUCCCCUCUGGUGCUUCCUAUGAUUGGACGUGUACAGUGCCUUGUGUGGCAACAAUGAUGGUGAUGAGCAAUAUCGGAGGUAUGGUAUUGGUCGUGGUAGUCGACUCUUCUUCUGCGAAGUGUCUGUGGAGUUGCCUCGACUGCUUGUUGUUGUGAAGUUGAAGCCGCGGUGGCGGUGUCAGGUGGUAUAUGAUGACGCGUGGUAGUCGGUUCGUUCCAUGAUCCUCCGUGACGUCAACCUUGCCUAGUUUCUUCGUAGUUCAUCGUUGGAGUCGGAGCUGCGUUGUCUUGUGUGGAUUGUACGGAGGGUUGCUGUUUUUUUCUUUGAUCUUCGAAUCUUUUGGUCCUAGGACCUUCAUCACCUUAUUGUUUUCUGUUGCUCUCUGCUAUUAUCAAUGAAUGCCAACGAUGUUGUAUCUUUUAAAAAAACGAGAACCAAGGAGCUUAGGCCCUGUUUGGAACCAAAAUAUAUUAUGAUAAUUUAAAUUAUGAAGAUAGAUUAUAUAAUCAGGUUUAUAAAAAUAAUCUAGAUGCGCAUUUUAGAGGCCAGAUUAUAUAAACAUAAAUCCAUGUUUAGAGACUAGAUUAUGAUAAAUAGUCUGUCUUGUGCGUGCAUUGAGGAGAAAAAAAAGGAUCGUGGUGGCAGAAAUUAGUAAUUAUCUCCAACUUUAUAAGGAUAGUGGAUCAUUAGUAAUUCAUAAUCUGAUUUUAUCUGAUGUAGUGUAGAUUGUGAGUUUUUAAUGAUCUGUUCAUUUAAUUUUUAUAAUUUACAACAUAAUAUGUCCUGUUUGGAGAUAAUAUAAAUGACAAAAACUGAAUUAUCAUAACCUUAAUAUUGUUAUGUCUCGAGAGUAGAUCUUCUUUUUUUCGUCGCCUCGCGGCUUAUGUCUAAAUCUUUUUCUUGUUUAAUUUUUGUCCACAUACUUACAAUAUCCAGCACGUGAUCUUGAAAUCAACCAAUGACCGGACGAAGACUGGCCGACGACACAAACAAACCAUCCAUUACAACAAAUGUUUUUUGAAAGCUCCGCAUUACAACAAUCUUUAGAGUAGUCACAUUUUCUAUUGGGAAAAGAUUACAUUCCACCGGUUGAUCCGGUUGAUCCAUCCGCCGCCCGCUCGUCUGUUAAAUCUCGCCUCGAUCACGAACCAUUUCCCGAAACUGGCUCGUUGUUUUAGGAACGGGGCUGAAGCUGGAGCACUCCAGGUUCCUCGUCUUGGCUCCUCUACUACCGGGGACGAGCCUGCCGGAGUCUGGUGAACCGCCGCCGCCGUUGGUCCUCGCCAGCUCGCCGGAUCCCCACCUCGCCGACGAGAUCCAGCCCCUCGUCGGAUCCCCACCUCGCGCGGUGAACGAGGAGGUGUGUGGCGCGGACGCCGGCGAGCUCCCGCCGCCGGGGAGCUUCUCUGCCUCGCUGGAGAUGCGUCCAUGCUCGCGCGUCCGACUCUUCAUUGAGCAUGGGUCCCAGCUGCAACGUGACUUUCGUUACAAAAAUUCCUGAAACUCGACCGUUGUUUCAGAAAUUAACGGAUUCAAAGUUUAUUUCUUGCAACAAAGCGAAAGUUUCUGCAACUCGAGCGUCGUUUCAGGAAAUAACUUCUGACCAUGCGACGGGGAUGCGGGGCGUUAGAUCGACAUCCGACGGCUAGCUAGGUGACGGAUAAUUUUCAAAAGUCAUUCGACGAACACGUAGGGUUCCCCUUUUCUAUUUGCCAUGGAAAGCAAAUAUUACAUGUCAGGAACUGAAUGCCUGACGAUCAAACCACCCGACUCAUUUAUUUAGCUGCAGUACUACUACUGUACGUACACACAGAAAGGACGAGCAGAUGAAUUUAACCGGCAGCGCUCCGCGCGGAUCAGCUGUUAGCCGCCGGCAGCCGGCUUGAAGGACGUGAGCUUGCGGGUCCUGCUCCAGUGCUCGUAGAUCUGCGCGAGAUAGGUCACCCUCUUGCCGGAGCCGUCCGCCGCGACCACGAAGAGGCGGUAGUUCAUCCCGGACACCACCUGCUGCUCGCCGCGCGUCACCCGGCGGAAGAGCAGCCCGUCCUUGGCUAGGCUGGCGUGCUGGGCCACCGCCCACCCGCCUAGCUCCUGGACGUGCGGGUCGUUCACGUCCUUGACGGGGCUCCACCCGCCCAGAAGCACGCCGCGGCGGCCGAGGGCCGAGGUGGCUGCGAGGGCCGUGGCCAGGAGGGCGAGCAGGAGGAGCGGUCUCCCCAUGGUCGAGUUCUUCUGCAUUUGGUUUCCCUUUGGUUUUAACUUUUCGGUGUUGGGAGUUGGGAGCGGUGGUGGAUGUGUUAAGUAGGGCACUGCGUCAGGCGGGCCGGUUGGGGGCACGAUGGGUUGGGUUGUGACGGCGAUUUGUUGGACGGUUUUAGGCCCAUGGGUUUGGGGGCGCCGGCUGAGCGUAAGGCCUUUCAAACCGUGUCAUUUGGUCCCUCAGCAUGUUCUGAUCUCUUCGGAGCCUCUCAACGCAAAAAUACUAAAGGCGGUGUAUUUUCCUCACUCUGAUUUGCUUGAAGCAGAGGUUGGGAGUCAUCCGUCUCAGAUCUGAAAGGCGGUAUGCGAGGACACCUCUGUUUUAAAACACGGUCUUAUUCGAGGAAUUGGCAACGGGCUCGGUACAAGUAUUUGGAAUGAUAAUUGGAUCCCAAGGGAUCACAUGCUUCGUGCACUACAUCCAUGAAGUAAUAACCCGCAUAUGCUCGUUUCAGAUCUUAUCGAUCCGACAAACAGAAGAUGGAACAAGAAUCAUUUGCGUGAACAUCUUCAGGAGAUUGAUGUUCAGAGGGUUGUCAACAUCCCACUGAGCUCUUAUAACGGAAUAGAUGAGUUGGCUUGGCAUUAUGAGAGAUCUGGAUUAUUUUUUGUCAAAUGUGCGUACAGACUUCUAAUGAAAACGAAGAGAGUUUGAGAAAAUCGGCUAUAUGAAGUUUCGGAGAAUUCUAACAUUGGAGGUAAUAUGCAUCAUUAGAAGAAGCUUUGGAAUAUGAAGGUGCCAGCAAAGCUUCGUAAUUUUGCUUGGCGUUUAGCCAAGAAUUCGGUUCCGACAGAAGUUGUUCGUCAUAACCGAAAUAUGUCAGAAUUGGAUGUUUGUCCAUUUUGUAAUGCAGCUGAAGACAUUUGGAAGCAUGCUCUGGUUCAAUGCCUCAUGGCAAAGAGCAUCUAGUCUUUAGUCGAUGAUGAACUGGUGGAACACAUGAUAACUUGCAAUCACGGUGAUGCUAAGCUCUGGCUUUUUGAGCUUCAGGAAUCGAUGGGGCAUGAGACUUUUGUGAAACUCAUUGUUACCUUGUGGUCGAUUUGGUGGGUGCAGAGAAAGGCUGUCCAUGAAGAGCAAUUUCAGUCUCCACUAAUCAUUUUUCUGUUCAUCCAAAGAUACAUGCUAGAUCUGCAGAUUUUAAAGGAUGAAACUCCUUUGCACAGACCCAUGGUGAACGGUCAGAGUCCGAAAUGGAUUGCUCCGCCUGCUGGGAGUGUUAAACUUCAUGUCGAUGCUGUUGUGGGUAGAAACAACGACAAGGGGGCUUUGGCAGUUCUCUGUCGAGACGAGUCUGGUGCUUACUUGGGCGCUUCUGCUAUUACUUUUCAGGAUUUGGUCGAUCCAGAAAUCCUAGAAGCAAUGGCGAGUUUGAAGGCCUUAUCUUUAGCUGCUGAUUUGGGCUGUGAGCGAAUUGUUGUUGCUACAGACUAUAUGACAACGAUCACACAUCUGAAGUAUGAGUACAAGGGACCCUCAGCAGUAAUGAUCCAAGAUAUUAAGCAAAGGAUGCAAGGCUUCAUUUCAGUUGAUUACAUCCAUAAGAAGCGGGAGAUGAAUCUUGAAGCUCACAAGCUUUCAAAAGCAGCGACUACUUUAGCUUUUGGCCGCCAUAUUUGGCUUUCUAUCUUACCUCACGUUAUAUGUAUCCCUGAUCUUGUUGUUAUUUAAGUUAAGUGGCUUUCACCCCUAAAAAACACGUUCUGGUCUCCAGUUCCCAUGGGUUUGGAGGCGCCGGCUGAUUGUACUACGUGUAAGGCCUGGUCUAGCUCAAAAAAAUAAGGCAAAGAGGACCCGACCUGGUCUAGAUCAUUUAGGACAACGACCAUCAGCUAGAAAAAGAAUAACUAGAUCCUCUCCCNNNNNNNNNNNNNNNNNNNNNNNNNNNNNNNNNNNNNNNNNNNNNNNNNNNNNNNNNNNNNNNNNNNNNNNNNNNNNNNNNNNNNNNNNNNNNNNNNNNNUUAGUUCUUGACGGGGAUUGAUCCCUAGUAUCCACUAUGUUCUAGAUUGAUGUUGCUACUACUUGGCUAUGCUUAAUGCUUGUCACUAGGGCCCGAGUGCCAUGAUUUCAGAUCUGAACCUAUUAUGUUGUGGCCAAUAUAUUUGUGUUUUAGAUCCUAUCUUGCAAAUUGUAGUCACCUACUAUGUGUUAUGACCCGGCAACCCCGGAGUGACAAUAGGCGGAACCACUCCCGGAGAUGACCAUAGUAUGAGGAGUUCAUGUAUUCACCAAGUGUUAAUGCGUUGGUCCGGUUCUUUAUUAAAAGGAGAACCUUUAUAUCCCGUAGUUUCCACUAGGACCCCGCUGCCACGGGAGGGAUGGACAAUAGAUGUCAUGCAAGUUCUUUUCCCUAAGCACGUAUGACUACAUACAGAAUACAUGCCUACAUUAGAUCGACGAACGGGAGCUAGUUACAUAUCUAUCCGUGUUAUAGUUGUUACAUGAUGAAUCACAUCCGUCAUACUCAUCCAUCACCGAUCCACUGCCUACGAGUCUUUUACUACUGGUCCUCGCUACGUUACUUUGUCUAGGCUUGUCCCUGGCUACAAAAGGGAUUGGGCCACUUUGCUGUUGUUACUUGUUACUUUGCUGCUGCUGCUACUGCUCCUUACUACUCCGUUGUUACUUGUUGCAAGACUUUGUUGGCGCUGUUGCCAGGGAGGCUAGGUAAGUGGCACUAACAUCCCGUCAACAAGGCUUUUUCUGGCACCGUUGCUAUCAUACUACCUUGCUACUGAAACUUUUUUUGCAGACACUAGUCUUUCAGGUGUGGUUGAAACCGACACAUUCAGCUGCUAAUACUUGAGAAUAUUCUUUCGCUUCCCGUCGUGCGAACCAACAAAUUUGGGUCGAAUACUCUACCCUCGAAAACUGCUGCGAUCCCAUACGCUUGUGGGACAUCAAGGCUUUUUCUGGUGCCGUUGCCGGGGAAGCACAUCUAUAUUCUUUGAGUCACUUGGGAUUGACGUCUGCUCAUCACUAAGAGGAAUCCGAAAGAUCCAAGAACUAAAAUCCUACCGUCCACUACGAGGAGAGAGAUAGAAAAGGGAAAAGAUGAGGAGGUUCUUGAGAGGCUCGUCAAGCCGUGACCCCAAGGAUGAUGGGAGUGAGAAGAAGCCCAAGUAUCCGGUCCCUAGAGUCGCAGAAGUUCGCGCGUGCGAAUGGCCAAGCGAUGCGUUCUUACGCGCCGCUGGAAUUUAUGAGAACUUUUAUCACUUGGUGGAGAACGCAUGCCUUACCGCCUUCGUUGAAGAUAAGUGUUUGCAAUACCUCCUCCUCACUAAUAUCUUCGUACAAAGCUUUAACUUCUAUCCGAGGAAGAAUCCUCCUAUGGUUGAGUUUAAACUAUAUGAUGUCCCCCAGCGCAUGUCACUCCAGGAUUUUUGCAAUGUUUGCAAAUUACCUUAUGUUGGGGAUAUUCAUGAACAUCGUCCAUGGUACUUGGAAGCUUUUAUCGGUACAAUUGCUGUAGGAAAGGAGAGAGGAGUGUCUUGCGCUAGAGCUGCUAGCAUUCAUUUUCCCGUGCUUCGGUACUUCUCACUAUUUGUGGGAAAAUGUUUGAUUGGUCGUGGGAAAUCUGGGUCACUUAGUUCCCCAGAUCUUGCGAUCUUGAGCGAAGCCCUUUAUAACGAUAAAACUUAUAGCUUGGGCGCUAUAGUAGCUCAACGGUUGAACCUGAACCGUUCUAAAGGUGUUGUCUAUGGAGGUAUCUAUGCUACCCGUCUUGCCAGACACUUUGAGAUACCCAUUAGACUAGAGGAGGAAGAAGAGGUUCUUCUUCCCGAGAGAUAUCUAGAUUACGAUAGCAUGGUUCGCCAUGACUUUCUUGAUAGAGAUAUAUGUGGAAGGAUGAUUUAUAACCUGGUAUUUAGUCAGGUACUCGUGAGACUAUUACUUUGCCUGCUCCUUCUUUGUUCAAUCUUCAUGCAGGCAGGUACACUAUUAUGCCCUGGGACAUCUACGCAUAUUGGGGCCUAGCCCAACCACAGGUGCCCGUGCCUGAGCCACCAGUCGAGUACCAGACGCCAGUUUAUCAGUGGGAGCCGGAGGAGCUCACACAACAGUGGCAUCCUCAGUCCACUCCGGGGUACCCCGGAGCUGGUUAUUUCCCUCCUUGGGAGUAUACCAAGUUAGGCCAAAAUCCUAAGCUUGGGGGAGUACGUGUUCUCACCGACUUUACAUUCUUGCUUAUGCUUUCACUUCGUUAGUCGGUGUUCACACUUUGCCACUAUAUCAUCCAUGCUAGUUUAUUUUCUUUUUGUCGUUUUCUUUUCGUGUGUCUGUCUAGUUGGAGAAAAACCAAAAAGAUUUUCUUUUUCUUCUUUUGCUUGUUGGGAGCUUUCCUGUGUAGAUAGUUUUCUUUUUCUUUGGGUCAAGGUAGAAGACAUUGGUUACAAUGUUUAGUGGCUCUUGCAUGCAUACUUGUUUAGCUUUUAAAGAGCCAUAUUACUUUGUCUUCUCCUUUGUGUUUGCCUGUAGAUUCCAGCUUUAGUCCAUUGCACGAGCACGCUUAUUAUUGUUCACAUCAUUCGGUCGUGCAAGUGAAAGGCAAUAAUGACGAUAUAUGAUGAAGUGACUGAGCCUGGAAAAGCUGGUAUGAACUCGAUCUAUUUUGUUUUUGUAAAUAUGACUAGCUCAUUCUUCCUAGUUCAGCUUUGUUGUGAGAGAAACAUGUUUGCAAUGAAAACUUAGAGAUCAUGGUUUCUUAUGCCAUGCUUACUUAGCUAGGAGCUUAUAAUGGUUUGUCUUGGAUGCCCACAUGAAUGUUGAGAUGACUAUGAUGUAGUAUGAUAGGAUGGUAUCCUCCUUUGAAUGUUUUAAGUGGCUUGACUGGCGCAUGUUCACGCAUGUAGUUGAAACAAAAUCAACAUAGCCUCUAUGAUGUUCAUGUUCAUGGUGAUUUAUGUCCUACUCAUGCUUGCACUCAAUGUUGGUUAAUCUCAAUGCAUUUUGAUGACUGUUGUCGCUCUCUAGUUGGUCGCUUCCUAGUCUUUUGCUAGCCUUCACUUGUACUAAGCGGGAAUAUUGCUUGUGCAUCCACUUCCAUAAACCCAAAGGUGUGCCAUAUGAGUCCACCAUACCUACCUAUGUACGGUAUCUACCUGUCGUUCCAAGUAAAUUUGCAUGUGCCACUCUCUAAAUCUUCAAGAAAUAAUUUGUUUUGCAUGCCCGAACCGCUCAUGUGGUGACACGGGGCUAUUGGUAUCUUCCAUGCUAGGAGUGUUAUCCUCGAUAUGUGUUUAUUCACUAUCAUUCACGAGAAAGGGGCCGAUAAUUGGAAUUCCCAGUUCCAUGCUCAAAUCGAAAAGAUAAUUGCAAACAAAACUCCCCCAGGAUUGAUGUUGGUAUGGACGGUACCCGAGGAUUCGGCUAGCCAUGGAGUGUGAUUGAUUGGUGGUGGGGGAGUCAAAACUUUACUUUUCUGUUUGGGAACCGCCUAUAGUAUGUGUAGCGUGGAAGAUGUUGAGAACUCUUAGUCAUUGCGUUGACAAUGAAAGGAUGCCACCCAAAAUUAUUAUCUCUGUUUUCAAAGCUUGAGCUCUGGCACCUGUGCAAAUCAAUGCUUCCCUUUGCGAAGGGCCUGUCUAUUUAUGUUCCUGUUGAGUCAUCCUCCUCUUACAAAAGCACCAAUUAGAGAGCACCUCUAUCAUUUUUAUGCUUUGCUUUUAACUGGGUUGAGUAUGACUAUGACUGGAUCUUCAUUGCCAUGAAUUACAAUGUUUAGUCAGCCCUUGGUCUUUGAAGGUGCUCUGCAUUUAUGUUUUGCGGUCUCAGAAAGAGCUAGCGAGAUACCAUCUAUUCGUACUGCUUCAUGUUGUUUUGAUUGAAGUGUUGACGUUUGAGGCUUAUUAUUAUUUGCUCGCUAGUUGAUUAUGCCAUUGAUAUGAGUUUACCGUGAGACCUAGAUGUCAUUUGCUUAUGUGGUUUGAUUGUGAUCUUGCUGAAAUUCUGGUUGUGAGUUAGACAUAGUUGCAACAACAAUGUCAAACAUAGUUCGUCAAAGUUUUUCUUUAGUGUGUCUCAGUUUUGUCAACUGAGUUGCUUGAGGACAAGCAAGGCUUUAAGCUUGCGGGAGUUGAUACGUCUCCGUCGUAUCUACUUUUCUGAACUCUUUUGCCCUUGUUUUGGACUCUAAUUUGCAUGAUUUGAAUGGAACUAACCCGGACUGACGCUGUUUUCAGCAGAAUUGCCAUGGUGUUGUUUCUGUGCAGAAAUAGAAGUUCUCGGAACUUCCUGAAAAUUUACGGAGAUUUUUUCUGGAAAUAAAAGAAAAAUACAUGCGCAAAGAUCCGACCGGGAGGGGGCGUGCCAGUGGGCCACAAGCCCACACGGCGCGGCCACCCCCCUACGGCCGCGCCAUGCAGGCUUGUGGGGCCCACGUGGCACCACCGCCCCCAAUCUCAGUCCUAUAUCUUCCGUUUCGCCUGGAAAAAAAAAAUACAGAGAGAAGGUUUCAUCGCGUUUUGCGAUACGGAGGCGCCGCCACAUCCUGUUCUUCAUCUGGAGGGCAGAUCUGGAGUCCGUUUCGGGCUCCGGAGAGGGGAAAUCGUCGCCAUCGUCAUCAUGAACCUUUCUCCGUCGACAAUUCCAUGAUACUCUUCAUCGUUCGUGAGUAAUCUCAUCAUAGGCUUGCUGGACGGUGAUGAGUUGGAUGAGAUCUAUCAUGUAAUCGAGUUAGUUCUUGACGGGGAUUGAUCCCUAGUAUCCACUAUGUUCUAGAUUGAUGUUGCUACUACUUGGCUAUGCUUAAUGCUUGUCACUAGGGCCCGAGUGCCAUGAUUUCAGAUCUGAACCUAUUAUGUUGUCGCCAAUAUAUGUGUGUUUUAGAUCCUAUCUUUCAAGUUGUAGUCACCUACUAUGUGUUAUGACCCGGCAACCCCGAAGUGACAAUAGCCGGAACCACUCCCGGAGAUGACCAUAGUAUGAGGAGUUCAUGUAUUCACCGCGUGUUAAUGCGUUGGUCCGGUUCUUUAUUAAAAGGAGAACCUUAAUAUCCCGUAGUUUCCAUUAGGACCCCGCUGCCACGGGAGGGAUGGACAAUAGAUGUCAUGCAAGUUCUUUUCCCUAAGCACGUAUGACUACAUACGGAAUACAUGCCUACAUUAGAUUUAUGAACGAGAGCUAGCCACAUAUCUCUCUGUGUUAUAGCUGUUACAUGAUGAAUCACAUCCGUCACACUCAUCCAUCAACGAUCCAGUGCCUACGAGUCUUUUACUACUGGUCCUCGCUACGUUACUUUGCCUAGGCUUGUCCCUUGCUACAAGAGGGAUUGGGCCACUUUGCUGCUAUCACUACUGCUGUUACUUUGCUGCUGCUAUCGCUACUGCUGUUACUUGUUAAUUUGCUGCUGCUGUUACUACUGUUCCUUGCUACUCCACUGUUAGUUGUUGCAAGACUUUGUUGGCACUAAUCUCCCGUCAACGUGCCUUAUUAUGGCGCCAUUGCUGGGAAUUGCCAAAGCUUUUUCUGGUGCCGUUGCUAUUACCUUGCUACUGAUAAUUUGCUUGCACACACUAAUCUUUCAGGUGUGGUUGAAUUGAUAACUGAGCUGCUAAUACUUGAGAAUAUCCUUUAGCUUCCCCUUGUGGGCGAAUCAAUAAAUUUGGGUUGAAUACUCUACCCUCGAAAACUGGUGCGAUCCCAUACGCUUGUGGGACAUCAGUGCCUCGUUCCCCGCCUCGCCUUCUGACGCCGUCGCCCCGACGAAGCAGGUCGCCGCCGCCCUGGUCAGCCCCCGAUCCAGAUCGGAUCGGGAAGACCCCCCCCGCGCGAUGAGAGGUCUAGCGCAUCGCCCCGUCCUAGGCCUCCCCCGCAUAGCGGCCUAGCACCAGCACCCCGUUGACCUGCACCAACCGCUGCGGCCCAGAGCGCCCCGAGCCGGCCCACGCCAGUCGGGCUCCCCACCAGCUCGCGGCCCACGCCGCCCUAGCCUCCUCCGCCUGGGCUAGGCCCAAGAGUAAGGUGUGGCCGCCCCGAGCCUCUAUUUUUUUCCCGCUCGUGCGCUGUAUAGUGUUGUCGCGUUUUGGCACUGUAGACCCAAUUAGUUAGAUUCGGCCGAGUAGUAUUUUAGGAUUUAAUCUGAAUUUAAUUCUUUUUCAAGAAAUAGGUUAUAUUUCGAACACCCGUAGUUUAAUAUCCGUAUGUCGGAUCGCGAUGAAUUAGAUACGGAUCUUGUGUAGAUUCUUGCGUAGAUUACGAUUUUGCAACUUGCAUAAAUGUUUGAAGUAGUUUGACGUGUCGAAUGUCUAGUUUUGCGUGGUGGCUCAAUAGGAUAAUUGCCCGUAUUUAUUUUUCGCGUGUGUUCGAAUUGCUCGAACUCCGUAGAUAAAAUGCUCAUGUUUUAGGAACCCUUGUGCCAUGCAUUUUAGAGUAGUCUUUGGUAUUUUUCCAUGUAGGGUUUAGUCGUUAGUUAAUAUUUCGCGUUUAGGGCAUAUUCCCGCAUAUACGUGUGACGUUGUUUUCAUUUUUGCAACCCCACAUAUUAUAUAUGUUUUUGGGGUAGAAAAAUCCAUAGGAUUUAACUGUGCAUUUCGUUUUAGCUUUUGAGCAAGUUAGUUCGUGUUUUUUUUGCCAUGUUGCCCUUUUGUUUAUUUUUGUGGGAUUUAUUGCGUGCUUGAUAUGAUUAAGUUGUCAACUAGAGAGUUGCUCUUGGAUGUUUAGUCUAGCCCAUGGUAUUUUUGGUUGCAAUAGAAAUCCAUGUCUAGGUGUGGUUUGAUUGCUCUCAACUUGCUAGGAAAUAGUGCUGAUUUGGAGAUGCUGAAAUAUUUCUAAGUCUGAAAUCUGUUAUAUUUUGUUGCUGUCUUUGCAUGAGUUUAUCUAGUGAUCUGUAGCUUUUUUGAGGUUGGUGCAAUGGAGUUAGUUGUAGGAUUUAGGAUUCUCUAGCAUGCCGUGAAUUUUCAUGCCAUUUGGAGUCCUGUAGCUUAUGGUUUUGCUGCUGCCAAUAUGCCUUCACAUCGAAAACUGCAGUUUCAUAAACUGUUAUUUUCACCAAGUCUGAAAUAGUGUGUGAAAAGUCCAUUUGUGUACUUCUUUUCCUAGUGAUCAAUGCUUCCAUGCUAGGUGUUGUUAGUUGUAUGUUGUAGUGCUUCUUGCCCUCUAUCGUGUCAUGCCUUGGUUGAGUAUAUUGGAUUAGUGUAGCUCGUAGUUGUGGGGUGUAGAAAAUGCUAUGUGGCUGAUUUUGGCAGAUUGUAGUGAUUUCUUGUUUAGCUCGUAGUUGUUGAACCGUUGCUCCGUUUUGAUCGUGUCCUAUAUGAAAGUUGCUUACAAUCUCGUGUAGUUUCAUAUUAUCUUGCUGGUUGUAUGUUUUGAAAUGCUUGUGACUGCCAUUUGCACACAUAUUGCAUUCAUGCCCCCUUAUCUUGCGGUUGUCGUAUCUUUUGAACCGUAGCUCCGUUGGAGAUGUUCUCUAUGUGUAAAUUGCUUGUAACGACGCGUAGAAUCACAUGAACCUAUUUGUUUUGCUGUUUAACAACUAAUUAAAUGUGUUAGUUCAGAUCUGGACAGAAUUGUAAAUUAACAUGUGAGGUCGUUUUGGAGGUGCUAUAUGUCAUUUCCGACCUCAUUUAAAAUGCCUAGAUAGGUAGCUUAAUUACGCUUCACCUCUUGCCAUGAGUAACCACAUUUAAUAUUGCCAUGUACCUAAUCGGGUUAGAACUAAAUAACUCAUAUGUGGAGUUUUGUCGAUAUGCAACUCGUUGCAUAUUGAACUUCACUUAAUGUGUAGUGUUUGAUUGUUGUGAAUUGCCAUGCCGUGUGUUGCAUAUACUCUUUUGUUCAUGCAUCAUAUGUGUUGUGCAUCAUGUGGUGAACAUCGUGUGUUGAUGCUUGUUUCCGGUUUGCUUCGUCUCGAUAGAGUUCCGCAAGCGUGUCGGAUUGUGAGGACCCGUUCGACUACAUCGAUUCGUCUGCUUCACGGAGUCAUUCUUCUUACAAGCGGGAUCUCAGGCAAGAUGACCAUUUCCCCAUAUACCCUUACUAUCAUUACGAUGCUAGUAUUAUCGUUUCUAUCGAUUAUGUCUCGUUGCCUACCACUUGUUAAACAUUAGCCUCUCAACAAUGCCAUGAAAACCUUCAACCUGUUCACAACCUAGCAAACCACUGAUUGGCUAUGUUACUGCUUGCUUAACCAUGUGUUAGCGUUGCUAGUUGCAGGUGCAGUUGCUUCCAUGUGAUAACAUGGGUUCCUUGUUAUAUCACCAUAUUUAAUGCUAUUUAAUUUUUAAUGCACCUAUAUACUUGGUAAAAGGUGGAAGGCUCGGCCUUUCUAGCCUAGUGUUUUGUUCCACCUUUGCCCUCUUAGUUUCAGAUACCGGUGUUAUGUUCCAUAAUUGAGCGCUCCUAACACGAUCGGGGUUGUUAUGGGGACCCCCUUGAUAAUUCGUCUUAGAUUAAAGCUGGUCUGGCAAGGCCCAACAUUGGUUCUACAUUUGCCCAACAUAAUAAUUCUGUUAAUAUUGAGAUGCAUAGGGAGUUAGCGCUACCCGAGGAGUAAUUCUACAUAUUACACGGGGGGGGGGGGGGUCAGCGAUGAUGGUGUUGGUCCAAAACAGAGCAGCUUACUAACGCUACCCGGGGCAACUCGGCGUCUGGCAUGGUAACCAUCGCUCAUCCGUCGUGUCCUCAGAACGAGAUACGCGGCUCCUAUCAGGAUCGUCGACACACCGGGCGGCCUUGCUGGAUUAGUUUUACCUUUGACGAAAUAUCUUGUGCAUCAGGAUUCCACUGAUGCUUUGGGUAAUCUCAGAGUUGAGGUUUUCCACUAAGGAGUCCAACGAGAUCGCGAGCUUCGUGAACGAGGAUUUCUAUGCGGCUUGUGGUAAUUUGUGAUGGAUUAGUUGGAGCACCCCUGCAGGGUUAAAUAUUUUCGGAAAGCCAUGCCCGCGGUUAUGUGGCAACGUGGAAACUUUGUUUAACACUGGUUCUAGACAACUUGAAGUUAACUUAGUUAAAAUAUGCCAACUGAGUGCGUAACCGUGACUGUCUCUUUCGUGAGUUCCUUCUCUGAACGAGGACACGGUGGGGUUAUGUUUGACGUAAGUAGUUAUUCAGGAUCAUUCAUUUGAUCACCAGUAGUUUACGUCCGCUUUGCGUAGAUCAUCCCCCUCUUAUUUCUUGUACUCGUAAGUUAGCCACCAAAUACAUGCUUAGUCGCUUGCUGCAGCCUCACCACUUAACCAUGUCCCACCUAAUAAGCUUUGCUAGUCUUGAUACCUUUGGAAAUGAGAUUGUUGAGUCCCCUGUGGAUCACAGAUUACUACAACACCAGUUGCAGGUACAGGUAAAGGUUACUUGACGCGAGCGCGUUGAUUGUUCAUUUGGAGUUGCUUCUU
Molecule: long non-coding RNA, 60993 nt
Filed under: Hordeum vulgare
Lineage: Eukaryota; Viridiplantae; Streptophyta; Magnoliopsida; Poales; Poaceae
Description: long non-coding RNA (HVUL_LNC007714)
Source: RNAcentral